ACUGACUUGUUUUGGCAACUUGAUUGUAGGACGACGGCCCGAGGCCUGGACAGGGUGGCCCGCCCCGUGCCGGCGGCCCUGGUGCCCCUGGUGGUGCGCCUGCUGGCGCCGGUGCCGUUCCUGGUGCCCCUGGUGGUGCGCCUGCUGGCGCCGGUGCCGUUCCUGGUGCCCCUGCUCCCCGUGUCUAGUUUGGGAAUGCUUUGUCCGUGAUAUGCGCCAGCCCUAGUUUUACUCGUAUCUGGAUAUUGGACUAUUCUACCUAGUUUUUGCUGUAAUCGGUUGUACUGAAAGUUGGUUGGUCAAGCACAAUUUGUGAUCAGGUCUUUAAUGUUUUGACAAUUUCGCUGCUAUCUAUAUCGGAGAGAACCUUUUGGUUUGUCUGGGGAUUGCCCCUUGUGGUUUUGUGUUCAUGCAUCAUAUCAUCUUGUAGUUCUUUCAUGAUGAGACUGUAGUCUGCGAUCUAUCUUCUCUUGUUAGUUCACAAUGCUGAGUUAAAAAUCACUCGUGAAUUGGUAUUUGAUAUAGCCUUGUAGAGAUAACAUAUCGCAGAUUCCAACAAAGAGCACAGCCUCUCUUUAUAAGACUGGAUGGCCGGUGCUGUGUCUUUUCCUUAACCAGAGCCACUACCACAUUGUGCUCCGGUUACAGGAGAGGAGCCGGUUGAACAAUGGCUAGGGGAGGAGAGAAAUGUUUGAUGUACGAAUUACUUUGAAUAACAAAGACGAUCAAAUGCUAGAGGCAAAUCCAAGUGUCGCUAACUGUUGGAUCUUCCCAGUACUUCGUUAGAUUCUGCAACGUGCAAUAUCUAGAAGAUUCUAUGGUUGAGCUCAAAUCAUAUGGACAUUUUGCACGACUCCUCCAUGCUAAUACUCUCCUAACUUUUUUUUGACAACUCCUAACUUCUUUUUCUAUCCAAACUAUCAUCCAUUUUUUACUUCGUAUUCAAGGCUAUGGACCUUCAUAAAUCAUAUUUAUCUUCCUUUGUGGAUAGAACAUUAGCUUUGAGAUAGCCAAGAAAGACACCUAACAAAACAGAUCAAUGCAAUUCAUGCAUAUGUCUCACACUCCUAUUUACCUGCUAUAGCCUAUAGUUAAUACAAUACUAUGUCUAUCUUUGACUGUAAUUGACUAUCUGAACUAAUUUAGAGCAUGGUUGAUAAUAGGGCUAACAAUCGGAAAGAGUUGCCAUGUCAUUUACAGCCAACCUAAUAGCUGGCAUGUACAAUAGUACAUUUUAAAUGUGCACUACUCUAUGAAUAGUCUCACAAAUUUUCUUGGGGCUUGUGCUGAAAUUGGCUACUAAAAGAGUCCGUUUCUUUUCUCUCUGCUCCAACUAAGCAAAGAAUAAUAUUUUAGUCCUUACAAUCUCCUUAUGUUCAAAACGUCACUUUGUAGGACGGGUGCUGGAGCCCUAUAUUUUGAAUAGUGGCAAAAUGAUUUUUUAAAGUUUCAAAAAAUUCUGAAAAUAAACUAACAUGCUUAUAUCAAUGUAUAUUAUACACAUGUAAAUUUUGAAGCUGAAAUAAGUAACCAUGUGAGUUGCACAAAAAUGACAAAAUCAUGAUUUUGGAAAGAUGAAUAGUGCAUGCUUAUAUCACCGUUUUGUCAUUUUUGUAUAGCUUACAUGUUACACAUGUGUAAUAUAAAUCGAUAUGAUCAUGUAGAAUUUUUUUUCAGAAUUUUGAAACUUUAAAUGUGAUUUUUAAAUUAUCUAAAAUAAGGUCCUCCAAUACACCCGGGUUCCAAAACUCCACUGUCCCUUAUGUCACCUUAUUGUACUUGCUCUAAUACUAUGUCUGGAACAACAUCAUAUGUACAGCGCGUUGACAUGGAAGUUUGUUACUUCGUCAGAGAGACAGUGCCUCAAUGAUAAAAAUGCACAAUCUGUUCUCUGAGAAGGUGUUAACAUGUAAGAUGUAUCUAGCUUUCAAGGGAAAUUCUGACAUGGCACGUUGUAUUUUCCUGCUUUCCUUUAUGAAGCCCUGGGUUCUGUAACACAUCCAUACUUAAAUUUGUGUACUCAUUGCCCUCAAUCAGCGUAGAAGUUUAUUUAAGACAUGAUUUUUGCUAAUACAGUGCAAAUACACUUAGCAAAAAAAAGAAAACACCACACAGUAUCCUUCUAGUAGCCUCUAAAUGAUAGAAUCUCCUCUCUGACAGGGAAAUGGUUCGGUGAUCCAAAUCUUAGAUACAACAUGGCGUCAUAUCCUACCCUAACAAGGACUUCAAGGCCUAAAAGCCGAACCACUUGGGCAUUUAUCUUCCCCUGAACCACGCACUCCAGGCUAGGUCAUCGCCUUCCUACGGCUUGAUGAAGCGAGCUAGCUUCCCAAGGACGCCUCUCAGGUUGCGUAUGCCGGCCCCCGUCUUGGAGCUCACCAUCAUCUACAAGACAUGUAUCACGGUAUCAGAAUGACAUGGUUCAGGAGUAGGUAUAACAGAUUGGGGAUGAUCAGAUGGUUCAGGAGCUCACCACGGGCUUUACGACUGACUUGUUCUUCUUCAGGCUCUGCAGUUGAGGAAAUGAGCCGUUUCGGUUCAGGUCAGGCAAUGAAACAAAACACGCAUGGGAGGAAGGUGGGGAGGGUGUGUAUAGGGAGGGAGCGAACCUCUUGGAUUUCCAUGGCACGGCGAGCAACGUCUAUAGGGAAAACCAAAUCAGUCUUGGUUAAUACAAUCUGGUAUGGUGUCUUGUAUCUGCCACAGUGUAUAUGGAGAUGUCAUUCACAAAGUCGAACGUAACACCACUAUGUAUAUCACCCCAAACAUAAGCAAAUGCUUUGAUCAAACAAUGUCUUCCAGGAAAAAACUGCAUGACUCUAAUCAAUGAAUUUGAUCGCACUGACAGCACAGUUUUUUUUAACUUUGCACUGACAGUGAUGUACUUCAAUUAAGAUUGUGAAGGUGCAAAACCACUUAACAUUACUACAUUAGAGAAGUAGAUAUGAACACUGCCUCUAAGGAUUUAAGCAAACCUUUCCAUUAGAUCUAUAAGCUCGUAGUCCAAUGGUUUCAUUCCACGUUUAGUGUGCACAAGAAGGCACACUCUAUCCAGACCAACCCUGUUUGAAACAUACUCCUUCACCUACAAAUUUCAGAGUGCUUGUAAGAACCAAGAUCAAUAACCAAUAGGCACGAUCUUUAAAAAAAACAAAAAAACCAAUAGGAACAUCUUGAAGACAAGUGAUUUCUUUGACAGACAGAUCCAAUGGUUCAAAUUAUCAAGAAUACUGCAACGGGACUAGGAGAUAGUUCGUCUAAUUAAGCGAUCAUUAACAUGCAUUGUGAAGCUGCUUGAUUGUUGAUUUGAAAUUGUGCCCAGUUGGACAUCCAGACCAGAUGUUCCUUGUUAUUAAAACAAGUAAUCAGCAGCAGUGCUCAUAAAAGUUAUAGAGCAAGAGCCAAGGAAUUUCAUUACCAAUGUACAGCAGUUAUGUGAUCUACAAGUAUGUACAUUUCAGAGUUAAGAAGAACCAAGAAUAACCAUAACCAAUAGGCACAUGUUAAAGCUUAUGUCUUGAAGAGUUAAAAUAAAACAAGAGAUUUCUUUGAUGAACAGAUCUAAUGGAUGUAUUCAAAUCAACAAGAAUACUGCAUGGGGGGCAGGAGAUAGUUUGUCUAAUUCUGUGAUCAUAAACACGCGUCAUUGAUUUGAAAUUGUGCUCAGUUGGAUAUCCAAACCAGAGGUUCAUUGUUAUUAAAACAAGUAAUCAGCCACAGCGCCCAUACAAGUUGUAGAGCAAGACCUCAAGGAAUUUCAUUACCAAUGUACAAUAGUUUUGUGAUCUACAAGUAUUUACAAUAAAAUUUAGGAUUUUAAUAAAUUAUCAUAGACCAGAGGUCAGAAACCCCAAAUUCAUGCAAGGCGACAUGAUUCAUGAAAAGGCUAUAAUGCAGAUUGGAUACUUACAAGCUCCUGCCAAGACUCUUUAACUUCAUCCUUUGCAUAAGCAAAACCAUAUCCGGGCAAAUCAACAAGGCAUAACUUUGAUGCAAGCUUGAAGAAAUUUAUACUCUGUGAUUCAGAAGUAAUAUGUUAUACAUAUAAACAAAUUAAGUGUUUGAACACUGAUAAAUAAGUAGAUGAAGAUAUGCAAGUGUUAAUUGUUUAUUCAACUUACUUGAGUAAGUCCUGGUUUAUCUGAUGUCCGGACAAUACCCCACUGUCUUGUAAGUGCAUUAAGUAGUGAUGAUUUCCCAACGUUUGAUACCCCUUGAAUUUCAGUAAAGUAAGAGAAGUUGUUAGGGCAGAUUUCAAACCCUUUAAGAAACAGGGAGUGAUAUAGAUAGGUUGAAUACUAUAUUUGAUUCAGUAAAGAUUUUACAGAAUCCAAAGAAAGCAUUGUUUUGACAACAAAACUAGCAUAAAAUAUCUAAAGAAUACAUGCAAAUUGUUAUAUUUCCUAUACAAAGUUUCAAACACAGCCAGAGAAGGAGCAGCACUAAAUGUCAUAUAUGACACAAAAAAUAUCAUGUCUGUUAUCUGUAAAUAUUUACUUAAAAAAAAGGGCAGCCCGGUGCAUGUAGCUCCCGCUUGCGCAGGGUCGGGGAAGGGUCCGACCACUUUGGGUCUAUAGUACGCAGCCUUUCCCUACAUUUCUGUAAGAGGCUGUUUCCAGGACUUGAACCCGUGACCUCAUGGUCACAAGGCAGCAGCUUUACCACUGCGCCAAGGCUCCCCUUCAUCUGUAAAUAUUUACUUAAAGACUUAAAUUAAGCACGAGGUUAUGAUUUGACAUUUGUCCUAGUAAAAAGAGCCUUCUACAAGAUGUGAAGUUUCUCUUUCACCAGUAGUUCAAUUGAUAAUACAUAACCAAACAUUUUAGAAGCUCAGUGAUAUAGAGUUGAGCUGAGCAGAACAUAAGAUGGCUGAAAGUUGAAACAUACAACAAAGUAGAGGCUUGGUUAGUUGACUACAAAAGGUCAAUGUGCAAUUUAUCAUCAAUGUUUCAGUGUGCCACAGAACCAACAAAACAUACAUUUUCAAUGCAAAUAAUUGCUCCACUAUUUGCAAAACAUUGUAGGGGAUAAAUGUAGAAUGAUAUAUGACAUACUGAAUUCAGACACAGCACAUCAAAAUGACAUGAUGGACAACUUUCAAUAUAAAUAAGAAAGGGGAGAUGGAACUGAUAUUGUGCAUUCCUUCCUAGGAUGUUUACCUGCAAAUGCUAUCUCUGGAAUUGUAGGAGGAGGGAAAGAUGAUGGGAUCUUUGCAGCGGCAAAAAAGUCCAACUUAUUUCUGAACACCUGUUGAUAGUUUUUUGUGAGCAACAACAACUAAUAUUGGAUAGAAAAAACAAACAUAAAAUAUACUACCUCCGUUCUAAAUACAAGACGUUUUGGUAGGCUAAAAUGGCCUACCAAAACGUCUUAUAUUUUGAAACAGAGGUAGUAAAACCUAAAAUCAUAUAGCAGCCAAAAAUAAAUGACUAAAACAAGAGAAACAUACAACUUUCUGCACUGAUUAUAUGUUAUCUUUCUUACACUGUCUUCUAUCCGGUCACGCUCAAUUCUGGUUGAGAAGGGGACAUUAUCCAGAGGAGCAGAAAGCUUGGUAUUGUAGCCAGCAUUUUUUAUGUCAAUUAGACGCCUACGACCAAGUAGCUGCGAAGAGCAGUAAAAUUAUGUUACACAUGCAUUCAUAGAGCGUAAGAGUCAAAGAGGUAUGAGGAGGUAAUUGUGUAUACAUUAUCUUCAACAUAUUGAAGGAUUGAAGAACUUGGCUGUAUGUCACGAAAUUUAGCAUUUAUAGACAUUUCAGUCUCUUCAGGUUCAGGUGUGCUCUUUUCUGGAAUCUUCACUGUUAUGCAAACUAGAAAAAAAUGGAGAUAUUAAAGCAUCAGAUUGAUAAUUAGACACUUUCCUCAUAAGACCAAAAGUUUCGAAUAAGUAAAUAAAUUAUAAGGGCGUGAAUGCUCUAAGACGUUCAGGAAAGUUUUCAUAUUACUAAGGAAACAAUUAAAAUAUGUAGCAAUUUCAUGAAGUUAUCAGUUGAAAGAAGAGAUUUGGAUCAACAAUGUUACAUAACAAAGCAUGCAAAUAUAUUUCUAAAAGGAGGGAAUGGCACAGACUGAAUAAAACUAUAACUUGUAAGUGGUUCUAGUGUGUAUGCAUUUUUUUUAUCUUAACAGGAUAUCAUUAAGCAUAUGCAUAUCGAGUAGUAUACAUAAGUUGCACUACAUUUUCUUGACUUCCCGAGCUCUAUACCUGCAUUUAAAUAAUAUGGAAUAUUUCUUCUUUGUUAGCAUGAACUUCAGAUAAGAAAUGCAAUGCUACUUUCAGGGGCAGAGCAAGAAACUAUCCAUGAGAGGGUGCCGUUUCACUAUCACAGGAUUUGAGGGGCCGUUUACAUGAAACAGGAUGUACAUAUGCACAAAUGAAUCCUCUGCGGCACUUUAAAAAUGGUAAGAUAGCAUUCGUACCAUCUUGUUUGGGAGUUGCCUCCUCAAUUCGUUUGUUUGAUGUGUCAUAAGGAUCUAGUUUCAUUCGCUUUCUCUUCUUAGGAGGAGCAAUUUCCUCAGAAUCAGAAACUGAAUCCUUCUUAUAGACCCUGAGUUUCUUCCCAGUCUUGUCCAGCACUCGAGUAGGACGCGCACGGGGCUUCUCUUCAGUAUUUUGGCGUGAAUCAUCAGACUUCCUGCUUCCGGCAUCAUGCUCAUCCAAAUCGGCAUUUGUGGCGCCACCAUUUCGACGAUCGACCCUGAUGUCUUUGUCAAAUUUCUUCCACUUGGAGGCUUGUGAAUUCAUACAGACCAUUGAUCGACCCUUGUCCCCUUUACUUCCACCAGAGGUCUUGCUGCUAUCCCUUCUCAUUGAACGGAAGCCAUCAUCUUCCGAACCUCGAGGCUUGAACCUUUCGCCUUCCCCUCUGCCCAUACCAGAACCUUUGCUGCUAUCCCUUCUCACUGAACGAAAGCCACCAUCUUCCAUACCUCGAGGCUUGAACCUAUCGCCACCCCCUCUGCCCAUACCAGAACCAUUGCUGCUACUCCUUCUCAUCGGCCGAAAUUCACCCUCUUCAGAUCUCCGGGGCUUAAACCCGUCGCCUCCUCGAGAAGAAAACUUGCCACGGGUUCCAUCGGAAGGGUUCUUUCUGUCCAUCCUUGGCUUAGAAAACGACGCGGCGUUGUAAUCGCCGUACCCCGAGUCACGAUCAGCCUUCCUCUUCCUGCUGUCAAACCCAGACGAAGCCCUCCUGGCGUCUCCUUGAGACCCUGCAUCGCUCCGCCACCUCUUCUGCUCCGUACCCCCUCCGCGCCCACGCCCACCGCGCUCUUCUCUCUCCUCCCCAUUGCCCCGGCCACCGAACCUGGCCCCUCCUUUCCCUCUGGCGUCCUCCCUCCUGUUCCCCGUCUUCCCGCCGGCCAUCCCGGUCCCGCCGCCGCUCAUGUCCCUCUUGGCGCUCAGCUGGCUCGCCGUGCUCGUCUGCCGCCACUUCAACCGUACACCGAGCGGCAUUUCUUGGCCCCCCUUUGUCUGAAGAAAACCACCUGCACAAAGACGACGACGGGUUAGACGCUCUCGCCGUUGGUCUGGCAGCAUGCGCGCGCGAGCAGGGAAGGUGUUCGGAGGAAUGCCUAGGCGGAAAAGGGGAGGAUGGAAGAGACAGCUGCUGUGGGCGCGGGCGCGCGGGGGAUGGGACGGCGGUGCGCUCACCUGGAGCGGGGGGCGGCGGCCGCGUUGCUGUCGCGGCGGGCGGCGGGCGGCGGGUAGGCGUUAGUGGGAGUGCCAGAACGAACUGAACGGAGGCGCGCGUGUACUGAGGCUUAAGGUUUUCCUAUGGAGUGUUGGAUACAGAUCCGACGGUAGGAAUGGGGUGCGGCGGCGAGCUUAUGUUUGGGCCGUUGUAGUAGUUCCGAAGCACGUGGGCCUGAAUAAAUGGGCCAGUUUGUUAGUCAUUUACCAUUCGGCCUCGCACAAUCCCAAAAGGGAAAGACGCCUGCUACGAGUAAGUCGGAUGAUCUUAGAAAAGAUCAGCCUGCGCAGCCGGCUGAUUUGGGCGUAGGUGGCCGUUAGAUCGCAGGCUCCCAACAUCGUGUCUUCAUCUUCUUCCUUCGCAUUCUUCUCUCGUAGCGCCCAGUCGUUAAAAGCAGCAGGCCCUCCCCGGCAAACAAUGCAGCGUUGCCGUUCGCCGGAAUCUCAUCUGGUCGCAGCAACCUCGUCAUCGGCCGCAUACAAUGCUCCGACGCAACAUCGACCAGCCCGGCGAUGCUCCAAUGCAGCCCCGGAGCCCCGGCAAUGCUUCAUCGCAGCACCGGAGAACCCGACGAUGCCUCGACGCAACUCCGGCGCCUCGGCAAUGCUUCAUCGAAACAACGAUGGAUUUGUGAAUUUUGUUUGCAUCAUUUUUUUGAUUGCUUUUUGUUUUGAACAUUUUGAAGAAUAUACAUUGAACAUUUUGUAACAUACGUUGAACUUUUUUCAUAUACUAUGAAACAUACAAUUGAACAUUUUCUUAAUAUACUAUGAACAUUUUAAUAUACACGAUGAACUUUUUUUAAUAUAUGGUGAAAUUUUUCGAAAACAAAUAUGAAUGCAUACAUUGAACAAUUUUCACAUACACAUUGAGCAUUUUCUAAUAUAUGUUCAACAAUUUUUUUUAAUACUAAUUGAAUGAUUGGGUAACAUAUGCAGAACAAAUUUGAAAAAUACAGCGAACAUUUGUAUAUUCGUUGAACAAUUUCAAUAAACGAUGAACAUUUUUAUAAUGCACGAUGUACUUUUUGUAGUGGAGAAUGAACAUUGUUUUAAUAUACGAUGAACCGUUUUGUAAGACGCGGUGAACUUUGUAUAAUACACGAAAAAAAAGAAAAGAUUAAAAGGAAAAGAAAAGAAACGUAAUAGAAAAAAAACUAGAAAAAAAGGGAAAGAAAAAGGGAAAAGAAAAAAGGAAAGGAAAAAGAAGCAGAAAAAAGAAGAAACAACAGGCGACUGUGGGCCUGCCCAAACUUGGGCGUCGGGAGGCCGUGCUUCAAGAAGCCACGCCCUUUUGAUGCUUACGAGUGAGUGUCAAAUAGGAAUCACCUUGUUCUCUCGUCGAUGGGAUAUGACGCGUUCUGUGCAAAGACACGGGCAAUUUCUUUUUAUUUGGCUCAGAGGAGGGCAAUUUCAAACCCUAAAAUUUAUCUGCCCAAGUUUGCUACUGCGAGUUGUCAUCAAUGUUGAAGUACGAUUAAAGCCAUGAUUGCACUUUUAGUAUCCAAGAGAUACACUUUGAACUUACCUAAUCAUAUUCUACAAAACAUCAUUGAGAUAUUUAUUACACGAGAAAAUUUUGUUUUUGCCACUUUAGAUUUUGCCAAUUUUCCUUAUGCCACUCUAGAUUUUGACAUUUCACUUUUGCCACUCUUAGUUUUUGACAAUUAUCACAAUUGCCAUUCUCGUGGCAAAAGCAAAAUUUUCAGAGUGGCAAUUGUGAUAAUUAUCAAAAUCUAAGAGUGACAAAUAUAAAAUAAAAUUAUUUUAUUUUUGCCACAAAAUGGCAAUUGUGAUAAUUGUCAAAAAUUAAGAGCGGCAAAAGUGAAGUGUCAAAAUCUAGAGUGGCAUAAGGAAAAUUGGCAAAAUCUAAAGUGGCAAAAACAAAAUUUAAAGUGGCAAAACAUGCACAGUGUGUAUUAAAUAUCUCUACCAUGAUAUACCACACAGAUAUAUCUAUACAAUACAUAGUCUGUGCAAUGUCAAAGCAUAAUUCACAGUAAACUUUUGUUACACAUUACAAUUUAAAUUUAACACAACUCAAAGUUUAAAUGAUAAUGAUAUAUGUAUAUACAUAUACUACAACUACAUAACAAAUAAACAUAAUAAUUAAUAUUUAGCAACAUCAUUAUGUGAUUGACUAUGUCAACUCAGUAAUAGACAAAUUAUAGUAACUAAAAAUUUAUCACAAUAAGAAUAAGUUACAAAUAAGUAGAAAAGUUAAAUAUAAAUCAUGUUUGGUUUAAUUUUCAUAAAAAAAAUAAAAAAAUUGCACCAUGAUGAGCAAAAGCUAUACCAAGAACCUUGUUUACUAAGAAGACACGGACAAUAUACACCUACACGGUGAGAUACCACCGAAUGAAGAUAUGACUGGGGCAUAGAAAGUAAAAGGGAUCCCAGACGUUGAUGAUGUGAGUACCAACACUAGACAAUGCAAUGCCCUUGACUGAGGGACCACCAAAGUGACGGUGCAGAAAAUGAGGCAAACUGCAGCUCGACUACCUUCUUCUCUUGUGUCUCUGCCACCAAUGGUCAUGUUUCGUCAAACUUUCAUCACAAACAAUAAAUCGUUGGGCACAUAUCUAACAACAUAAUGCAUUAUUUCAUGUACGGCGAUGUGAUGUGCACAAAAGAAGACAACGCUCCACUGUUAACUUUUUUGGUGGCUCCGCCUGUUAAUGACUUAACAAAAAAAUGAAACGAAAAUAGAACCGAAGGACCUAACUAGCAACAAGUAAGAAAGAUGACACCCCGCCACGGGUCUACCCCCUGGUCAUGCCAGACAUAGCCGCCAUGUCGCCGCCUCCACGGGACCUCCCUGUCCCAAGCUCGCUCCCAUGUCGUACCUCGCCACAAGCUCACGGUCAUGCCGGUCCAUGGCUAGGGGGAGAAAAAAAUGAAAAAAAAUCACUCAGAUAAAUGGACCCUGCAUGUAUUGGAGAUCUUCUUCUAGGAAUGUCCGGAAAGGAAUGGCAGCUCCCCCACAUGAGUAUAUCACACAAGUUGUAAUUAGUAUAAGACCGAUUCGAAAAGCAGUCGAGAUUCACUGACUUAGGGUCAAUCAUGUGCAUCUCUGCCUGGAGAAUGUUCCACUCAACGCGUGGAACGAGGAGGUCGUGGGCAAGCUCAUCGGCGGCGUGGCCGUCACGCACUACUUUGAUGCGGCCACGACCCAGAAAGAAGACGCGUCGUCGCUCAACCUCUGGGCUUGGACGGCCAAUCCAUCAGCGAUUCCCAAGGUCAUGUGGCUGACACUCAUCGGCGGCAACGCGACCGGCAGCAACAUCAUCGUCUCCAGCUCUGAGCCGCUCCCUGGCUUCAACUCUGCUGCAGCCAGCUCUUCCUCAACACAACAGCAGGGGAGGCUUGGGCUCACGUACCGGGUGAUCGUGCAUCUCGACCUGCAUGAAGACUUUGGCCAGGAUGCUUCAACACCGUGCUACCAGCACCAGUUCGACUGGCAAUAUGGGAUCAUUGAUGGAGAGGUUGCCAUCAGGGAGAGCAACCAAGGUGGACGGCGCAACAACGACAACGACCGCCGUCGCCGCGACGAUGACGACAAAAGACGCCGCCGAGACAGAGACGACGCAGAUUGGCGUGGGCGCCCAGGCGAGCGCCAAGGGUCAUGGUCCGACCGCUUCUUUCGUAGUCGCUCGCGCGCUGCGGAGGGGAGGCGCGACAGGGAGGGGCGACGGGAUGAAGGAAGGCAUGCUGAGGACCGUCGUGAUCGUCACCGGGGUGCCGCACCUACGCCGGUGACAGUUGUUCAAGGGGAGAGCACGCCGUUGGCCAGGCUACAUCGUGAUGCUGCUGGUGCCCUGGUGUGGCGUCGCAUUCAGCAGCCUGGGGCUGUAGAAGCUGGCCUGGUCACGCUGCCUACUACCCCAAUGCAGGAGCGGGGACGCAGCCCCCAUCGUCAGGUCUCACCACACGCGGCCAGGCAACGGUCUCGCAGCAACCUCACGCCACCGGAAUCUCCCUCUUCGGUGCUUCCGGCGAUGCCAAGCUCAAAGGGCGGCCAUGUCCCGCCAAUGGACGUGCUCUUCGCCGGCGUUCAGGCGGCCCUACAACUAUGUUCACCGUGCCGUCUCGUCCAACCUCUGUCUGUAGUUACGCCGCCUUGUCCACCUGGUUUCGAGGCUCCCGUGGAGAGUGCGGUUGUGUCCGUCCCGACUGCCACUGAAGAAGAUAGCUCGGACAUCUUGGAUCCACUCUUUGUGCAGGCCUCAGCGCCGCUGCUGCUUUCGCCUCCUGUCCAGCAGUCAAGGGCACUCACCAACAGGCGCAAGACUCUGGCCGGGAUGGACAUCGACCGCAACGGUGGGUUCUCUCUUCGGCGGUCUAGUGCAAGAAUCAAAGCGCACCGCCGGGCCGCCCCUGCUGCUAAGGAGGCCCAGGCUUUUGUGUGCCGUGGUCUGGGAAUCGUCAAAGAUGGAGAGGAUGUUACUGAGCGCGCGAUGAAAGAGCUCGCCGACCAGUUCAAGGAUCAAGUCCCAGGAACGGUGAUCUCUGCACUUAGGGCACUAUUCCAACUUGACUAAGAGCAUCUCCAACAGCCGCGCUAUGCCCCGUGCGCAAAAAUCCUGUUUGCCGUGCGCGCUUCGGCUGGUUUAGCGCGACCACCAGCGCUGGCUUCAGCAGCCGCGCUAUAAUGCAGCGCGCGCGCCGCUCCAGCCGAGCGCAAAAAUACAGCGCGCGCGCCGCACAAACCACAUAUACAUUUCAAAGAAGAAGAGCAAAAAUGAUCAAACAAACAAAAUAAAUCAACAAUAAAUAGUUCAAUUUCGUUAUCAUUACAACUCAAACAAAUAGUUUAUUGUUCAGUACAACAAAUAAUGCAAUAAACACAACAAAUAGUUCGUAAACAAUACAAUGUCGAAUGCAGAAAUCAUGAUGCUCUUUGUCGUCCAUAUCAUGCCCACCACUCUUCAAUCAGAUCAUUCUGAAGUUCAUUGUGCGUUGCAGGACACCAAAUGGCAUGAUAGGAGGCAAUAAAACGGGCUACCCUUUCAGCCCUCCGUCGCACUCGUACGGGAUGUCCCAGGAGUUCAUACUGUGAGUAGUCUAAAUCUUGGCCACGCUCAUUCUCGAUGAUCAUGUUGUGCAUGUUCACACAAGCGUGCAUGAUGUACCAAAGCAUUUUUUGAUCCCAAAAUCUAGCCGGUCCUCUCACAAUAGCAAAUUGGGCUUGCAAAAUCCCAAAUGCUCUCUCCACAUCUUUUCUAGCCGCCGCCUGAGCAUUGUGGAAAUCAAGAUUUUUCUUACCUUCCGGCUUUUUCAACAGCUUCACGAAGGUUUGCCACUUUGGAUAGAUGCCAUCCGCUAGAUAAUAGUCAUAGUUGUACGUACGACCAUUUGCUACAAAAUGCACAGGUGGCAACUCACCGUUUGCAAUCUUAUUCAUCAGUGGUGACCGGUUGACCACAUUGAUGUCAUUCAAAGAUCCAGGCAUUCCAAAGAAUGCAUGCCAAAUCCAAGUCUCCUGAUCGGCCACCGCUUCAAGGAUUAUAUUGGAACCCUUUUUUUGGCCAUGGAAUUGCCCAUGCCAUGCCUUUGGACAAUUCUUCCAACUCCAAUGCAUGCAAUCUAUUGAGCCAAGCAUGCCAGGAAAGCCGCGCGCUUUGUUCAUCGCCAAUAGCCUUGCGGCGUCUUCAGCAGUGGGAGAUCUCAAAUACUCCUCGCCAAACACUUGCACAAUUCCCAUUGCAAAGCGCUUGACACACAUGAUGGCUUGGCUCUCACCCAUAGCCAAGUGAUCAUCAACUAGAUCAGCCGGGAUACCGUAUGCCAACAUACGCAAAGCGGCUGUCACCUUCGGAAAGGUGAUAUGCCCGAGCUCUCCGGCGGCAUUCCUCCUUUGCUGGAAAAACCGGUCAUGGCUCGCUAGUUUCUCUGCAAUGCGCCUGAACAAGUCGGUGCUCAUCCUAAACCGGCGACGAAAAUACGACUCCUGGUAUGUGGGAUUCUCCACGAAAUAGUUCUUCAUCAAUCUGUUAUGGGCAUCAAUCCUAUCUCUCCAAAUUUUCUCUCGACCCAUAACUGAACCACCGUGCUUCGGUUUUUUAUUGAUAUGCAUAGCUAGGAUCAUUGCAAGAUCCUCCUCCUCUUCCAUAUCAAAUUCUUCUUUGGAAGAAUCAAACGACGAACUCAUCUACAAUGUUCAAUACUAUACUAUUAAAACUACAAUUCAAAACAUGCACCAAAUUCAUGAAGUUUGAGCAAUACAUACCUUGUAGGCGUUUUGUCGAACACCUUGCGGGCGCGGUGCGGAAGCGAGCGCUCGGGCGCUGUUCCUCGGACGACGGAGGCGCGCGAGCGUCGGCGGGACUAGGAGGGAUGGGGCGGAAGCGCGGCGGCGCGGGGAUAGGCCGGGGAAGCGCCUGAAUGGUCGCCGGGGGGCACGGGCGGCGGCGGCGGUGCGGCCGGAUGGGGUGGAAGUGGGAGAGGAAGUGCGAGAGCGAGUGCCCGAGUGUGCCGCGCGCUGCAGCGGGCGCCCGAAAUACACCGCGCGGGGCAGUGUUUCCGACAGCGCGCCCAACUCGUUAUAGCACGCGCGCCGUUUUUGCGCGCCCGCUGGAGCGACCCGCCGUGUUGCACGCGCGCUAAAACCGACUAAUUUGCGGCGCGGCGCUAGUAUAGCGCGGCUGUUGGAGAUGCUCUCAGGCCGGGCUGCUGAAGUGGAGGACACACUGCUGGAGCAUGGCGGAGCUGUUGCACUGGACCAUGACAGCGUCGUCGGCUCAGAGGUCGGCACUGGAGCCUGAAGCAUUUCAAAGGCUCACCCGUUGUAGCUUUUUAGUUCAUCAUGUUAGCAAAACUAUAUGUAUCUCUGUUAUGUUGUGGGGCUCAUGUUUGUGUUAUGAAUCUACCCUGUUGGCAUCAGCUGCUGUCCAGCAUGCUGGUUCUGUUGUGCCCUUUGUGGCUGCUAUGUGAACUUGGCCUGGGAGGCUACUUUAUGAAGACUGCUCUGUUUCCCAAUGGUAGAACACAAGAUUAACAUCAUGAGUUGGAAUGUCAGGGGGUUAAACUGCCCUGACAGACGUGCGACGGUCCAUGAAACAAUUUCCGCUUCUUCUUGCCACAUUGUUUGUCUUCAGGAAAUGAAAAUGGCAUGUAUUGAUCAAUUCCUUGCUUGCUAUCUUGGCGGCAACCGGCUCCGUAGAUUUGCUCAAAGGCUCGCCAAUGGCACUCGCGGUGGCUUAGUCAUGCUCUGGGAUGACUCUGUUGUUGAGGUUUCAAAUGUGAGGACCUCCGAAUUUUGUCUCUCCGCCAACGUAAACAUCCGCAACUCUGAUUCACAGUUUUUGAUCACAUCCGUCUAUGGCCCAACGGAUUCCGGCCGGAAGAAUGAUUUUUUCGCAAAGCUGGUGGCCCUGAAGCCAAAUGCCGGAGUCAAAUGGCUUGCUCUCGGUGACUUUAACCAAAUUUACCGGGCGCGAGACAAAAAUAAGAGAAACAUCAACAUUAGCCGGAUAAACCAAUUUAGAGCAGCAUUGAAUCUUUGUGAGCUCAAGGAAAUCCACUUACAGAAUCGUCGGUUCACUUGGAGCAAUGAAAGGGAGAACCCCACCUUGUGCAAACUCGACUCCUUCUUUUGCAAUUCUGAAUGGGACAUACAUUUUGACUCACACAUCUUGCAUGCCCUGUCAAGCUCCCUGUCCAAUCACUGCCCCCUUCUUCUUGCCGAUGACAGUGGCCCUCGGCGACCUCGCACGUUCAAGUUUGAGAAUUUCUGGACAAAGAUCCCAGGUUUUAUGGGUGUUGUGCAGCAGGCUUGGCAAGAACCAAUCUCUCACUCGGAGCCCUAUCAUGUUUUAUUCCAUAAGCUAAAGAAUACGAGCUUGCAUCUGUCUAGAUGGAGUAAGGGACUCUUCUCCAAGGCCAAGCUUCAUCUUCAUGCGGCCUUGCUGAUCAUCCUUCAACUUGACAUUGCUCAAGAAUCUCGCCCUCUCUCUCAUGAUGAGCAGGACCUCCGGAUUAGGCUGAAGAGGCGGGUCAUGAGCCUGGCUGUGUUAGAGAGGGCGCGUAAGAAGCAGUGUGCUCGCAUUUCCAACAUCAGAGAGGGAGAUGCUAACACCAAGUUUUUCCAUCUCAGGGUCAACGGUAGACGGCGCAAGAACUACAUACACCGGUUAAAGCAUAACAAUGGGUGGGUCACCGACCACUUGGAGAAGGAAACUAUUGUGCAUAAUCAUUUCUCCAGCGCCAUUGGAAGAGGCAUGCCAAGGAGUCGGGAUUUUAAUUGGGCACAUAUUGAAAUGGGCCAGGUUGAUUUGGAAGGUCUUGAUUCACCUUUCACUGAGGAGGAGGUCAAGUGCACCAUUGAUCAUAUGCCGUGCGACAAGGCACCCGGCCCAGAUGACUUUACCGGGGCUUUCUUUAAGUCUUGUUGGGAUAUCAUUAAGGUGGAGGUCAUGGUUGUGAUUCAUAACUUUGGCAACCUACAUGUAGACAACUUCCAGUGGCUCAACUCCGCUAAUAUUAUGCUUCUGCCCAAGAAGGAUGGGGCAGAAGACAUCACCGAAUUCCGGCCCAUUAGCCUCAUCCAUGCCAUUUCCAAGAUUGUCUCCAAGAUGCUUGCAGUGAGGCUUAGCCCACACAUGAACAACCUCAUAUCCAACGCCCAAAGUGCUUUCAUAAAGAAGAGAAGCAUUCAUGACAACUUCAUGUACGUUAGAAACCUUGCACGCCGCCUCCACAAGAAUAAGACUCCUUCACUCCUUUUCAAACUGGACAUCCGAAAAGCUUUUGACUCGGUCCGGUGGGAAUAUGUCCUUGAUAUUCUUCAGCGGUGCGGCUUCCCUAGCAGAUUUCGUGACUGGAUUGCUGCCCUUCUUAGCACCUCAUCAUCACGGGUGCUCCUCAAUGGGGUUCCCGGUUCUCCGAUUAGCCACGGGAAGGGCCUUCGGCAAGGAGACUCGAUGUCACCGCUUCUUUUUGUUAUUGUGAUUGACCCGCUACAACAACUGCUCAACUCAGUCACGCGGAUUGGACUUCUGCACAAGAUUAGAGGGCGUGGCACCAUUAUUCGGACAUCACUCUAUGCUGACGACGCGGCUGUCUUUGUGGCGCCAAUUCGGGAGGAUAUUAGAAACCUGACCGACAUCCUAGAGGGGUUUGGUGAGGUCACAGGGAUGCACACAAACUUUCACAAGAGCUCUGUGGUGCCUAUUCGGUGUUGGCACUUGGAUUUGGACGCCAUACUUGAGGACAUGCCAGCCACUCGAGCUUCUUUCCCCAUUAGAUAUCUCAGAUUGCCGCUUUCUGUUUGGCAACUUAAGUGAGUGGACUAUCAACACCUGGAGGACAAAAUUGCGAACAAGCUUGUGCCUUGGGAGGGCAUGCAUAUCACCCCCAUUGGACGUGGGGCUCUUGUGAAGUCGGUCCUCACCUCCCAGGCCAUCCACCACCUCACCCCAAUCAUUGUGCCACCAUCCGUUUUCCAGAGCAUCAAUAAGAUUGAGCGUGCUUACCUUUGGGCAGGCACGAAAAAGGUCUCCGGAGGGAAGUGCAAGGUUAAUUGGGAAACGGUCUGUAGGCCUACUCACCUAGGAGGAUUAGGUGUACUACAUCUUGACAAAUUUGACAGAGCUCUCUGGUUGCGUUGGCCAUGGUAUGAGUGGCAUGACCCAACGAAGAUUUGGGUUGGUUCGGGAAACCCAUGCGACAUAGAGGACAUGGAUCUUUUUUAUGCUCUCACUACCAUCACAGUUGGCAAUGGGGAAAGGAUGCCAUUUUGGGACGCGCCGUGGCUUAGCGGCAAGAAGCCAAUUGAUGUUGCACCCCUCAUAUACAAGAUCUCGAAGCGCAAAAGUUGGAAGGUUAGUAGGGCCUUGCACGAUGAUGCGUGGAUCAAGGCCAUCAACAUGCAUUGUGAGCUGACUUGGAAUCAUGUGACCCAAUUCGUCGAACUGUGGUCUCUGCUCUCUCAUAUAAACAUCUCCCAAGAUGUCCAUGACACCAUCAUUUGGAAGCUCUCCCCUAAUGGGGAAUACUCGGCCAAAUCAGCAUAUAAGGCGCAAUUCAUGGGAGCUAUCCUCACACCCAUGAACAAGGUCAUUUGGAAAGUCUGGGCACCCCAAGGUCAAAUUCUUCGCAUGGCUAGCCAUCCAAAAUAGGGCAUGGACGGCUGACCGCCUAGAGCGGCGCGGGUUGCAAAAUUGUGGUCUCUGCCCAUUAUGCAAGAGGGAGUUCGAGUCCGCCGCUCACCUUUUCUACAGAUGUCGGUACACUAGGCGGUUGUGGAGGCUGAUUAGAGAUUGGUUGCAAAUUGGCGAUAUCAACACCAACCAGUGGGCGGCUCAUCACUCUCUCAGUAGUUGGUGGACUCAUAUGGCCAGGCGCAGCAAGGCGAUGGCGACCCCCACCUUGCUCACCACCUGGACCAUUUGGAAUGAGAGAAAUGCAAGGGUCUUCCAGAAGAAAUAGACGCCCCCCCAAAUCAUCUUGCGAAACUUGAAGGAGGAAGCUAGGCUCUGGGUGCUAGCGGGGGCAAAAUGCCUGAGUAAUUUGAUGCCGCGAGAGUAAUGACUUUGUAUUCAGUGGGCCUCAUGUGGCUCCGACUUAAACCUUGUCUCCUCCCUUAAUUAAUGAAUGAGGCAAAUCUUUUGCCUUUGUGUUCAAAAAUAAUAAUAUGUGGACCAUUUGGUUUGUGGCCCCAUAUGUCGUGACCCUAAGUCACCUGACGUUACAGCCAAUUUGAGCCCUAAAGAAAGUGUCAGGAAUUACAUGGACACACAUAUGUGCAAGGAGAGGAAUGUCCUCCGCGAGAAGGCGAACUCCUUGUAUCAAUGCUUAGUAAGUCUAUGAGACCAAAGUGUAUUGGAGAUCUGUUGUGCAACUUCGCGUGCGGGUAGUUUUGUCAUGCAGUGUUGCGGCUCGAGUGCGAGCGAUGGUAUGUCGGGGCGGCAACCCCAUAAGGUUGUGCUCGUGGACCACAUAGGACACGCAGGAGUGGAUGGAAGUCAGGGCGGUCGUCCAAACAUUUCGACAACUUUGAAUGCGCUGACCUCAUGUCGCGUGGGCGGCGAGGUUGCUCUUGAGGUUGGUCAUUGGUGUACCGUGAGUCGCAUUGAGCACGAGUCCAGUGGAGUGCAGGCAUCUUCACCGUUGAGGGAGGGUCCUGGGUUUGCUCCUCUAUAUCAAUCGCAACUUCUUCUCCUCGGCGAUGUGGUUGGAUGCUGGCUAGUUCGGCGGAGCAGGUUACCGUUGACUUGUGUGAGUUUAGUUGGUGUGUUGAUGUGAUGUUUGUCUAGCAGUUGGCGAGAGUGGUCGUGGGCUUGUAAUGUCGUUGUUUGAGUGGACAUGGCUCUGUUUGUAUCAGUUUUUGCCCAGUUUCUGUGAUUAACUAGGCAACAACCAUCUUCUAAUGAAAGGGGCAAAGCUUUUGCCUUGUGUUUCAAAAACACCUCUCCACUAAUAAAAAAUUAUAUUGGAGAAGUCCAAUAGUACCCUAUUGGAGAUGGAACCGGGUGCUGUAAAAUAAAAAAAUGAAAGCAAAAUUUAAAAAAUCUCAAUUUUUUAGGAAACAUUGACAAAUGCUUUGAUAGCUUGCAAAGUUUGAACAUCGCAUGACAUUAAUGAAAAACGUGGCAAAAAAACGAUGCUCCAAAAGUUUUAUUUUCAAAAGCAUUUUGGAGCAUUGUUUUUUUUGCCAUUUCGUGAUGAAACUUUGCAAUCAAUGAAAACAUUUGUCAAUGUUUGCUAGUACCAAAUAAAUUUAGAUUUUUAGAUUUUUAUAAUUUUACUGCUACUUGAGCUCAUGUGAGCUCAAGCCGAGAAAAACACUUUCGAAGUAUUGAGAUACAGCUACAGACGACACAGACAACUUACACAAGGAUCAAAUAUAAAGCAAAAGUUUUUUUUAGAAAAGGAGGAUGACCCCCGGCCUUUGCAUCUGGGAGAUGCAUGCGGCCACUUUAUUGAUUAUUCUUGAGGACCAAAUUAAUAAAAACUUAACCUUUUCCCAAUUUUAAUUCUUGGCAGAUUUUAGCAACUUAGCACUAGUCAAGCAAUCUCAACACAAUUCAAGCAAGCAUGCAAAGAGUAUAUGAGCAGCGGAAAGUAAAGCAUGCAACUUGCAAGAAGAUAAAUGGGAGGAGUUGGAAAGGAGCAAACGCAAUGUUGACACGGAGAUUUUUGGCGUGGUUCCGAUAGGUGAUGCUAUCGUACAUCCACAUUGAUGAAGACUUCAACCAUGAAGGGUAACGGUUGUGCGAGUCCACGGAGGGCUCCUCCCAUGAAGGGUCCACGAAAAAGCAACCUUGUCUAUCCCACCAUGGCCAUCGCCCACGAAGGACUUGCCUCACUUGGAUAGAUCUUCACGAAGUAGGCGAUCUCCUUGCCCUUACAAACUUCUUGGUUCAACUCCACAAUCUUGACGGAGGCUCCCAAGCGACACCUAACCAAUCUAGGAGACACCACUCUCCAAAAGGUAAUAGAUGGUAUAUUGAUGAUUAACUCCUUGCUCUUGUGCUUCAAAUGAUAGUCUCCCCAACACUCAACUCUCUCUCACAUAUUUGGCUAUGGUGGAAAGAUGAUCUGAGUGGAAAUCAACUUGGGAAAGGCUAGAGAUCAAGAUUCAUAUGGUUGGAUUGGAAUAUCUUGGUCUCAACACAUGAGUAGGUGGUUCUCUCUCAGAAAAUGAGUAGUGGAAGUGUAGGCACGUUCUGAUGGCUCUCCUCAUGAAUGAAGAGUGGAUGGAGGGGUAUAUAUAGCCUCCACAUAAAAUCUAACUGUUACACACAAAUUCCCAAACUCGGUGGGACCGAAUCACGAAACUCGGUCAGACCGAUUCAGGUCAAAAUAUGAACGUUAGGAUUUUCGAUGGGACCGAUACAGUCAAUUCGUUGGAAACGAUUUGCUAGGGUUAGGACAUGACGUAAUCUCCGUGUGACCGAUCACAUCAACUCGGUGGGACCAAUUUCAGUAAUAGGCACAUUGAGAGUUGGUCAUGCAAACUCGGUGGGACCGAUUCGCUCACUUCAGUGAGACCGAAGUGUUAUGAAAAGGAUCAGGGAGUUUGCAUUGCAGACCCGGUGGGACCGAUUCACUCAUUUUGGUGGGCCUGAUUGUUACAAAAAAGAAACGGUGAGUUUGCUAUCCCAUCUGGGUGAGACCGAGAUCCCUAAGUGACUAGGGUUUGUGGCAGUGGCUAUGUCAAAUGAAACUCGGUGGCACCGGGUAGAUCAAAUCGGUGGGGCCGAAUUUGACUUUUAGGUUUGGGACAUAUGUGGAAAUGAGAAAGUGGUUGAGGGUUUUGGAGCAUGUCACUAAGAAAUGUGAGCAAGAAAUCCAUUAAGCAACACCUCAUCCCCUUUUAAUAGUAUUGGCUUUCCUAUGGACUCAAUGUGAUCUUGGAUCACUUAAAUAAAAAAGUAGAGUCUUGAGCUUGUUGCCAAUAUGUAUCCUUUGCAUUUUGAGGGGUCGACAUCUCUAGUCCAUGCCAUGCUAACUAUUGAAGUGUCUGAAAUGAUCAUCUUGAAAGAGCAUUAGUUCAAUGAGCUAUAUGUUGUUAAGAAUUACCAAAACCACCCAGGGAUUAGUUGCACGAUUCGGUCCCACCGAGUUUGGUAAGUUGUGUGUAACAGUUAGAUUUUGUGUGGAGGCUAUAUAUACCCCUCCACCCACUCUUCAUUCAUGGAGAGAGCCAUCAGAACAUGCCUACACUUCCAACAUACAUUUUCUGAGAGAGAACCACCUACACUUGUGUUGAGGUCAAGAUAUUCCAUUCCUACCACAUAAAUCUUGAUCUCUAGCCUUCCCCAAGUUGCUUUCCACUCAAAUCUUCUUUCCACCAAAUCCAAAUCCUGUGAGAGAGAGUUGAGUGUUGGGGAGACUAUCAUUUGAAGUACAAGAGCAAGGAAUUCAUCAUCAACACCCCAUCUAUUACCUUUUGGAGAGUGGUGUCUCCUAGAUUUGUUAGGUGUCACUUGGGAGCCUCCAUCAAGAUUGUGGAGUUGAACCAAGGAGUUUGUAAGGGCAAGGAGAUCGCCUACUUCGUGAAGAUCUACCCGAGUAAGGCAAGUCCUUCGUGGGCGACGACCAUGGUGGGAUAGACAAGGUUGCUUCUUCGUGGACCCUUCAUGGGUGGAGCCCUCCGUGGACUCGUGCAACCGUUACCCUUCAUGGAUUGAAGUCUCCAUCAACGUGGAUGUCUAAUAGCACCACCUAUCGAAACCACGGAUAAAAACUCUCCGUGUCUCCAAAUUGCGUUUGCACACUCCAAUCCCAUCUCUUUACAUUCUUGCAAUUUGCAUGCUUUACUAUCCGCUGCUCAUAUACUCUUGUCAUGCUUGGUUGAUAUGUAUUGUGAAUGUUAAAACUUGUGCCAAAACUCCACUUCAACUUAAAGAGAUUAAAAACUGCAACUUUUCUUACUUAGAGUCUAUUCACCCCCCCUCUAGACACCUCUUCUCGAUCCUUUCAGAGUGAUAUCUUCUCUCGGAGUGGUGGUCGGAGUCGGAACCGGAUACCCGUUCACCAACAUGAGCUUGAUGUCUUCAUUUUGUAUAGCUCCUUGAUGACUUGUCCUUCCUUUCUGAAUCCUUGCUUCUUCGAGAGGUUCUUCAUUCAUAGCGAUCAUCUCUACCCCUUCUCUCUCUUGGAGGUGAUUCUUCCCUUUUUCUUCUCCUUUUAGGUGAGUCUUCUCUUCUUUUGUAGGGAGCCGUACACUCAUUGGAGUAGCAUCCGGGUCUUCCACAAUUGUAGCAAUUUCGCUCACGACUAGAAGAUCUUUUGUCAUUGUAGGACCUUGACUUGGAACUUCUUUCCUUGCUUCUACUCUUGUAGAAUUUGUUGAACUUCUUCACCAUUAGGCUCAAUUCAUCAUUGAAGGCUUGUUUCUCAUUUGAUUAUGUAGGAGCAUCACAUGAGGCUUUAUAAGCACUGCUAGACUUGUUGUGAAGCUCUUCUUUAUCCUUGAGUGACAUCUCAUGAGCAACAAUUCUUCCAAUGACUUCCGUUGGCUUGAGAUCUUUGUAAUUUGGCAUCAUUUGGAUCAAAGUGCACACAGUAUCAUAUUUUCCAUCCAAGGCUCUUAGGAUCUUCUUGAUGAUGAAUUUGUCGGUCAUCUCUUCACUUCCUAAGCCGACAAUCUCAUUUGUGAUGAGAGCAAGCCUAGAGUACAUUUCAGCGACACCUUCACCAUCCUUCAUUUUGAACUUGUCAAGCUGACUUUGAAGCACAUCCAACUUGGAUUCCUUGACGGAGUCGGUACUUUGUGCAUAUCAAUCAAAGUAUCUCAAAUUUCCUUUACAUUCUCAAGACGGCUGAUUUUGUUGGAUUCUUUAGGGCACAAUCCGUUGAAGAGAGUAUCGUAGGCACUACAAAAAAAAAUACACUUCCGUGAUGAUACGUGUUUGUCACAGUAGGCCGCGUUUUUUGUCAUGCAUGUACAUCCAUGACAAUUUUAUGACAGAAUCAAGAUAGUCAUACCUGUGCUGUCGUAGAAGUGUUCCAUGACAUUACCAAAAUUAUCAUCACGGAAGUGUCCACUUCCAUGACGAUAAAUCGCGCGUCACAGAAGUGCUUUCGUCAAGGGUGACUGACAUGUGGCAUCCACUGUAACGGAACGCCGUUAAGUUGUCGGGUCGGGUUUUGGAUCCGAUAACCCGUUAACAGCCCCGACCAAUGGGGAUUUUCCACGUGUAAAAUCAUCAUUGGCUGGAGCAAACACGUGUCGGCUCACCGUUGGGACAGAUGUCAUCCACUCAUUGGACCGAAGGCGCCUAUGAUACGGCGACACGUGGCACGACCCAACAGAGGCCCAUUCUUAUGAAAAGGCCGACCCGUUUGACUUGGUCAAAAGGUGGCGGCCCGGCCCACGGAAAGCCUGUUAACGGCAUGUUCGCAUAUAGCCCAUUUACAUCCCGCUAACCCAGGGCCCGUUACGACCUCUCCGAAUUAGGCCCAGUAGCGUCAUUUGGGCCGUCCAAUAUGAUUCCAGCCUGUUUUAACUUCCGGCCCAUGUGUGGCCCAUGACUUCUUUCGGACCAUAUGAGGCCCUUUGUAACUCUUGGCCCAUUAACGGUCCGUGGUGAAACUGGCCCGUAAUGAACAGUGUAUCACUUUAUACCCAUUAACGGCCCAUUAUUCUAUUGGGCCGUUUCCAGCCCAAGUUAUCUUUCGGCCUUCUCAGGGCCCAUUGAUUCUUGGGCUCAUUUGCAGCAUUCGGUUACAUACGACCCGUUACUGUCAUUUUCUGCUUGUGGGCCAAAUUCAGCCCGUCAUUACAGUUGGCCCGUUUGUGGACCGUUAAUACGUUGGGCCAUUUUCAUGUCAAAAAAAAUCCGUUGGGCUGUUUUCAUAGAGUUAUCAAAUACGGCCUAUUAACGGCCCGUUAUGGUCCAUGAAUAGUACGACCUAUGAUUGGCGAAACGAUGAUACGCCCCGUAGAAGGCCCAUGGAUCCUACGGCCCAUAUGAGGCCCAUGGAUCGUACGUCCCAUAGAAGGCCCAUGGAUUGUAUGGCCCGUAGAAGGCGCAUGGACCCUAUAAACCGUAGAAGGCCCAUGAAUCCUAAGGCCAGUAUAGAAGACCAAUGGAUCCUACGGCCCAUAUAGAAGGCCAAUGGAUCCUACGGCCGGAAGAAGGCCCAUGAAUCAUACGGCCCGCAGGAGGCCCAUGGUUACAACAGUCCGUGUGUUGCCAUGAUUAUUUUGGCCAGUUACCAAAAAUAGGCUAUUGUGGCCACUAGAAAAACACAGAAAAAGAACUGCACUGACUACAAGCAAACAACUAAACAAGACAAUAAGGAAAUAAAUAAGCAAGCAAUUAACGCUAGCCUAUUACCUUUAUUACACAUAUUACAUCCACUAGGCAUCAAAGUUUGCCACCAGUGCAAAUAUAGGGAACAAAGUAGCAUAUUACAUACACUGGUCGUCAAAAUUGGCCACCAGUGCAAAUAAACGCGGCAGCAAAACAAGAGGAUAACUGAAACAACUUUAGAAGAGCUCAAGAAACGUUAUCCUGGGUAUCCACCAUGCUGGCAAUAAGCUUAGCAAGCUUAUUAGCUUUGUCCUGUUUGGCGCUAAAAUCCUCCAACGCUUGCUGUUGCACCAGAAAGUAUGCAUCUGAAUGAUCCAGGGACUUCCGUAGUCCUUCCGCUUCUUGUCGCAGCACAGCUGAUCGAUGUAUUUCAGCUUGUAGUUGAGACUCAAGAAACCGAACUGAUUCAGACAGUGAGUUUGAAUAGCUUGUGCAAGCGAUAGUGGCCAGUAACUCGAACACUAAACCAAGACAUGACUUUGGGGUUGUCUUGCUGUCUUCAAGAUAGUCUUCCUUAGCUGUUUUAUAAGCUUUGUUGGAGACUAACAAGGAUGUGUCACUAUCCUAAACCUUAUCUGCAUUACUUCCUUUACCAUUGCUUAAUAAGGCACUCUUCCCCAAUAUUCUGUCAGCAUUCUAAAAGAAGAAACAAGCAGACACAUAACAAGUUUAGCAUGUACUAGUAUAUGAAACUCAUUUCGGUGAACCAGUUCAUUAGUAAGGUGGACAGGAUUAAACUACCAAUUCUUUUAUUGCCAAGUACUAGUACAUAAUAAAAGCAUCAAACAAACAUAUCUAUGUCCUAUGGUCAUUGCAUUGUCUUGCCAAAUCAAAAUAGAGACACGGUUCAAAUCAUAUUCGUUCAAGACAAAGCAGCAGUGAAAGAAUACAAAGCGUGGGAAACUACACGACACAACAAGAUUUCAGAUGGGUACCACGGGUCUACAUGUACAACAACACUAUUGGCUCUGUUGUGAUGCUAGUAAUGUGCAUGAUAUGAAAGUCAACUGUAUACACAAUUGAAAUUGAAAUCAACAGAGCUAUUGAUAAGAGCAAACCUAUUAAAGAAACAUGUGUGAACAUACCUGCUGUGGCAUUGGACUUUCGAUUGGAUCCUUCAAUUUAAAAAUAAGUUUGUAUGAGUAAAUACAGUGAUAUAAGAGCAAAGCAAUCAUAGUUAAAAAAGGCGCGCCUAGGCUCUAGGCGUUGGCAAAACGCAUUGCGCAUAACUACGCUUAAUCUGUGCAUAACUGCGCAUAAGCAUGCGCUUUGGUCAGUAAAGCGCAAGGCAGUGGGAAAACACACAAUUAACACAUAGUGCUUUUUUGAACUAUGAUAGCAAUGGAAUAUUAAAUUAGAACAGUUGUUCUUCAGGUUUAGGCACUUGUUCUACAUGAACAGAGUACAGUAAGAUGCAAGGAUAUAAUACUUAAAAAUAGAAAAGGAGCUCAUAGGCCUUACCACAUUCUUGGUUCGGGACCAGUACAGAACAAGGCGUUCCCAGUCAUCGUCCAGUAGAUGUGUCUCAGGAGAACACAAGGGAAUUUGAUGAGUUUCUUUGCCGGUGAAGUAUGUUUUCUUCAGGUAAUUCCGAUACUGCCACCAAGCAUUCUUGAAGAUAGCAGAGGUAUUAGCACAGGUUACCUCAUCCUGAGUUUCCAAAUCGGUCGUUCUCUAUAGAGAAAAAUGGGAAAAUUUGCUAUAUUAUAACCAUCAUGGAGGUAGGAUGUAUGGGACAAAGCAAAGUAAUUGCCAUGAAUAACAUUACUUACACAUAACUCCUGGACAAACACCUGCAGCUGGCAUUUUCCUUCAUCUUCAGUAUAAUAUUUCCAAGAUGGGAAGAUACACACAUACGAUUUAACAACAUCGAAUGCGAUAACUGCUAAACUACGACUAGCUGGUUGUGCUUCCUCCACAGGAAUAGGCGUACUAACUGGUGGAGUUGGGGUUCGACGUGGUAGUACUGGCCCUUUGGGCACUGGAGCUGCCUUACUAACUGCUCUUGUUUAGGAGCUCUGUGGUGGAGAUGGUGCUGUGUCAACAGGAACUGGGUUACUAUCUGCUGGGGUUGGGGUUAGAUUGGGUGAAGCUGGUUCUCUGUCCAUCGCAGUAGGGGUACAAUCUGCGAGAGUUUGGGUUAUGUGUGAUAGGGCUGGUUCUUGUGCAUGUACAACCGGGGUGCUAUCUCCACCAAGAGGUAGCACUGUUUUAUUUGAAGACUGUGUUUUUAGUCCGCUGGAUACUGGCAUCACCCGCUCCAAUUCAAAUGGCUGAUAAACAGGAAACAUAGUUGAAUGUACAGACAUUGUAUGAGAGACAGAUGCAAUAGAUAGUGUGGAAAAAAGGCAUGAAAUAGUUGACAUGUAUAUUGUUUAACUAAAACGGAUAGCAUGACAUAAUUUCACAUAUAUGAUGUCUAUCUAAACUGGAUAGCAUAACAUAACAUAAUUCAAAGAAAUGAUGAAUAACUAAACAGGAUUGCAUGCCAUAAUUCACCUACAUGGUAUCUAAGUAAUCAGAAUCGCAUCAUUUAAUUCACAUAUGUGAUUUAUAUGCUAAACAGAGGGCAUUCGAUAUGAUGUCUGAACUAAGAACAUGGUGUUGAAUAUUGUGUAUAUGAUGUCUAAACUAUGCAAUGCAAGACACCAUAUGCAUGAUAUGAGCAGUAUAACCGUGCCAAGUUUGAGCAUACACCUCGGUGGGGGAAUAGGACUGGUCAUCUGUCUCUGAAUCCAUCUCUGAGGAGCUAUCAGGACCCAACAAGAGAUCUGCUUCGACAUGUAGCACUGUCUGCUCUGAAGGCCUUGUUUUCAAUCCAGAUUUUUCCAUCUCCCACCCAAAUGGCUAAUUCACAGGAAGAGUAGUUUAAUGUACAAACAUUGUCGACAAAUGGAAAUGUAAUGAAGAAAAGGAUGGGCAAGAUAUCAUUCAAAUAUAUGAUGCCUGGUUAAACAGGAUGGCAUUACACAUUUCACAUAUAUUAUGGCUGGCUAAAAGACAUGAGACUGCACAAUUCCCAUAUAUGAUAUAGAAACUAAACAGGUGGCAUCACAGGACAUGUCUAAACUAAGCAGAUGACAUAUAUGAUGUCAAAAGUAGGCACUGUGAUACGUCUCCGACGUAUCUAUAAUUUAUGAAGCAUUCAUGCUAUUAUAUUAUCCGUUUUGGAUGAUUAUGGGAUUUACUAAGCACUUCUAUAUUAUUUUUGGGACUAACCUAUUAACCAGAGGCCCAUCCCAUAUUGAUGUUUUCUUGCCUAUUUCAGUAUUUUGAAGAAAAGGAAUAUCAAACGGAGUCCAAACGGAAUGAAACCUUCGGAAAAGUUAUUUUUGGAAUAGAAGAUCUCUCGGGAACUUGGAGUGCAAGCUAGGGAAGUAUCGAGGAGGCCAUGAGAUAGGAGGGCGCCCGCCCCCCCUAUAGGGAGCACCCCUGUCUCCUGGGCCCCUCGAGCACCCCCCGACCGACUUCUUUCACCUAUAUAAUCCCAUAUACCCUAAAAACAUCGGAGGAGAAGAUAGAUUGGGAGUUCCGCCGCCGCAAGCCUCUGUAGCCACCAAAAGUCAAUCGGGACCCUAUUUCGGCACCGUGCCGGAGGGGGGGAUCCCUCAGCGGUGGCCAUCUUCAUCAUCCCGGCGAUCUCCAUGACGAGGAGGGAGUAGUUCACCCUUGAGGCUGAGGGUAUGUACCAGUAGCUAUGUGUUUGAUCUCUCUCUCUCUCUCUCUCUCGUGUUCUCUCUAUGGCAUGAUCUUGAUGUAUCGUGAGCUUUGCUAUUAUAGUUGGAUCUUAUGAUGUUUCUCCCCCUCUACUCUCUUGUAAUGGAUUGAGUUUUCCCUUUGAACUUAUCUUAUCGGAUUGAGUCUUUAAGGAUUUGAGAACACUUGAUGUAUGUCUUGCCGUGCUUAUCUGUGGUGACAAUGGGAUAUUCACGUGAUCCACUUGAUGUAUGUUUUGGUGAUCAACUUGCGGGUUCCGCCCAUGAACCUAUGCUUAGGGGUUGGCACACGUUUUCGUCUUGACUCUUCGGUAGAAACUUUGGGGCACUCUUUGAAGUACUUUGUGUUGGUUGAAUAGAUGAAUCUGAGAUUGUGUGAUGCAUAUCGUAUAAUCAUGCCCACGGAUACUUGAGGUGACAAUGGAGUAUCUAGGUGACAUUAGGGUUUUGGUUGAUUUGUGUCUUAAGGUGUUAUUCUAGUAUGAACUCUAUGAUAGAUUGAACGGAAAGAAUAGCUUCAUGUUAUUUUACUACGGACUCUUGAAUAGAUAGAUAAAAAAGGAUAGCUUUGAGGUGGUUUCGUACCCUACCAUAAUCUCUUCGUUUGUUCUCCACUAUUAGUGUCUUUGGAGUGACUCUUUGUUGCAUGUUGAGGGAUAGUUAAAUGAUCCAAUUAUGUUAUUAUUGUUGAGAGAACUUGCACUAGUGAAAGUAUGAACCUUAGGCCUUGUUUCCCACCAUUGCAACACUGUUUACGCUCACUUUUAUCACUUGUUACCUUUCUGUUUUUAUAAUUUCAGAUUACAAAUACCUUUCUCUACCAUCCAUAUUGCACUUGUAUCACCAUCUCUUCGCCGAACUAGUGCACCUAUACAAUUUACCAUUGUAUUGGGUGUGUUGGGGACACAAGAGACUCUUUUUAUUUGGUUGCAGGGUUGUUUGAGAGAGACCAUCUUCAUCCUACGCCUCCCACGGAUUGAUAAGCCUUAGGUCAUCCACUUGAGGGAAAUUUGCUACUGUCCUACAAACCUCUGCACUUGGAGGCCCGACAACGUCUACAAGCAGAAUGUUGUGUAGUAGACAUCAAGCUCUUUUCUGGCGCCGUUGCCGGGGAGGUGAGUGCUUGAAGGUAUAUCUCUAGAUCUUGCAAUCGAAUCUUUUUGUUUCUUGUUUUAUCACUAGUUUAGUCUAUAAAAUAAAACUACAAAAAAAUGGAAUUGAGUUUGUCUCAUACGCUUCAUCUUUUUAAUAUCUUUCAUGAGAAUGAUGGUAAGGAAAAUUGUGCUCAAGUGCUACAAAAAAAAUCUAUAAAACGUUUGGCACUAAAUCUUUAAAUGAUGAGCAUGAAUGCAAUGUUGUUAGUAUGAACUCUUUGAAUAUACAUAGUACUAAUGAUGAUUGCACUAGUUAUGAUGAAAAUGUCUCUUAUAAGCAUGUCAACUUUUGUGGAGUGCAUGUUUGCAUGAACACACCAAAUAGAUAGAUAGAUAUUGCAAGAAGCAUAAGCAUUUAGAAACUAAAUUGUUGCAAGAAAAGUUAAAUGUGAGUGCUGAAAAUUUACAUUUCCUUUGCCGUACUUGUGAACUAUGCAAUGAACAUGGUCAUUUACAUCUCCGAUGCAAAUUAUUUUAUGAUCCAAUCGUGUCCAAAAAUUGUGUUGAUUUGAUUUCCCUUGCACAUUAUAAUGAACUUAGUUUGCUUUUGUGUUAUGAAGAAUUGAAACGUUUAACUAAGAAUCUUCCAGAAUUUGCCCUUGAGAAAUUCCUUGAUAUUGAUCUAGAGGAAAUUUAUAUGUAUUGUGCGGUGAAUUGCAUUGAAAAUCCUUAUAUUGCCAAUUACAUAAAGAAAAGAAAGCAAAUAGAAGAUGAUGAUAAUACUAAUGAAAGGGAAUAGACUUCCCAAUCUCCUCCUAUUAUUUCUUAUGAUGAAUCAGGUAACGAGGAGGAGCUUUCUAUUCAACCAAUCCCAUCAAUAAAGAAGGUUGAACCCACACAUAAUGUGAAGAAGAAAAGGAAGAGAAGGAGCAGCAAAGGUAAAAAGGUAUCCCUAUCAAAUGAUGUUGCUCCUCCUACUCAUUGUGAUGAUGAUAAUUGCUAUACUAUUGGUGCUAUCCAUACUAUUAAUGAUGAGCGUGAUUAUGAUUAUGAUAUGAAAAGGCCCAAGCUUGGGGAAGCUAUGUUUGAUGAGGAUGACAUAUUUGAGAAUAUAUUUGCUGCAAUUAAUGUUUGUCCCAAGCUCGGGGAUGCUAUGUUUAAUGAAGAUGAUAUUUUUAGCCUCCCAAGUUUUGAUAUGCAAAGUUGUUAUGAUGAUAACAUGCCUCUUACUUAUGAUUAUAUUGAUGAAAGUGGGUUUGGAAGAGUGUCAACUUUAGGAAGUAGUGAUCCCACUGUUUUGGAGGAUGUUGAAUCUUAUUGUGAUGAAUAUGAAAGUGGAGUUGGAAGAGUGUCAACUUUAUUUAGUGAUGAUUCCACUAUCUUGGAAGAGGUUUCAAUCGAUUAUGAUGAGAACAAAGUUGCUAGUUAUGAUGAUUAUUGUGAUGAAACUUAUGCUAUAAAAAGUAGUGAUGAUUAUAUUUAUAAAACUUGUCAUGAUUAAGAUUACCCUUUUUUUCUGAACAUUACUCUUUUAAUGUGGAAAUAAUUUAUAGUAUUCAAGUCUCUUAUGAUACUCCCACCAUUCCGAAUGAGAAGAAUUUUGCUUAUGUGGAGAGUAGUAAAUUUUCUAUGCUUGUAGAUCAUGAAAAGAAUGCUUUAGGUGCUGGUUAUAUUGUUGAAUUCAUUCAUGAUACUACUGAAAAUUAUUAUGAGGGAGGAACAUAUGCUUGUAGAAAUUGCAAUAAUAUCAAGUUUCCUCUAUGUGCUUAAAGUUUUAAAGUUAUGCUUGUUUUACCUUCCUAUGCUAGUUGAUUAUUGUUCCCAUGAGUUGUUUGCUCACAAAAUCCCUAUGCAUAGGAAGUGGGUUAGACUUAAAUGUGCUAGUCAUAUUCUUCAUGAUGCUCUCUUUAUGUUUCAAUUCUUAUCUUUUAUGAGAGCAUCAUUGUCAUCAUCAUGCCUAGCUAAAAAGGCAUUAAAGAAAAGCGCUUGUUGGGAGGCAACCCAACUUUAUUUUUGUUCCUUGAUUUUUGUUCAUGUUUAGUAAUAAAUAAUUCAUCUAGCCUCUGUUUAGAUGUGAUUUUAUGUUUUAAUUAGUGUUUGUGCCAAGUAGAGCCUUUGGGAAGACUUGGGUGAAGUCUUUGUGAUCUUGCUGUAAAAAACAGAAACUUUAGCGCUCAAGAGAUUAGCUGCCAUCUUUUACUGGAGAGUGAUUUUAGGUUGAUUAUUUUUUCAUAUGAUUAAUAGGCAAAGUUAUCAGGUCCACCAAUUUAUUUCAGAAUUUUUGGAUUUACAUAAGUAUUCGAAUGAUACAGAUUACUACAGAUUGUUAUGUUUUUGACAGAUUCUGUUUUCUCUGUUUUGUUUGCUUAUUUUGAUGAAUCUAUGAGUAGUAUCGGAGGGUAUGAACCAUAGAGAAGUUGGAAUACAGUAGGUUUAACACCAAUAUGAAUUUAGAAUGAGUUCACAACAGUACCUAAAUGGUGAUUUAUUUUCUUAUACUAACGGAGCUUACGAGUUUUGUUUUGAGUUUUGUGUGGUUGAAGUUUUCAAGUUUUGGGUAAAGAUUCGAUGGACUAUGGAAUAAGGAGUGGAAAGAGCCUAAGCUUGUGGAUGCCCAUGGCACCCCAAGGUAAUAUUCAAGGACAACCAAGAGCCUAAGCUUGGGGAUGCCCCGGAAGGCAUCCCCUCUUUCAUCUUCGUUCAUCGGUAACUUUACUUGGAGCUAUAUUUUUAUUCACCACCUGAUAUGUGUUUUGCUUGGAGCGUCAUUUUCUUUUGUUAGUAUUUGCUUGCUGUUAUCUAUAAUAAUGUUUUGCAUCUUUAUUUCCAAUAAAAAUUUCAAGGAUAGCCUUUACCAUGCUUAUUUUGCAAGUAUACAUGUUGCUGUUUCAAAACAGAAAGUUUAUCGCUGUUGCAAAAAUUCCCUAGAAAAGUCAGAGAGUGAUAUAAUGUUGAAUCUUUUUGCAUAUUGAGCUCUGAUAAAUCUUAUACAGCAUAGUAUUUUUCUUAUAAUUUUUAGAGUUAGGUAAGUAUGAUGAAUCUUGCAUUCUUUACAGACUAUACUGUUUUGGCAGAUUGCUGUUAUGUUUGCAUUGUUUGCCUAUGCUUGCUUGUUUAAUGAUUCUAUUUGAGGAUAGGAGUAUUAAAUAUGCAGAUACAUUUAGUAUCCAAUGUUGAAUAAUAAUUUUAGCAAUUUGUUACAGUAGAACAUGAUAAGGUUUUGCAUUGUUUUAUACUAACUUAUCUCACGAGUUCUUGUUGAGUUUUAUGUGGAUGAAGUUUUUGAGAAAUAGAGAAACCAUGAUAUGAGAGGAAUUAAGGAGACACAAAAGUUCAAGCUCGGGGAUGCCCAAGGCACCCCAAGAUAAUAUUCCAAUAAGUCUCAAGCAUAUAAGCUUGGGGAUGCCCCGGUAGGCAUCCCACCUUUCUUCUUCAACAACUAUCAGUUAGUAUCGGUUGAACCUAAGUUUUUGCUUCUUCACAUGAGUUGUGCUAUCCUUGCAAUGUCUUUUGUUUUGCUUUGAUUUCUGUAUGAAUACAAUACCAAGAUCUGAAAUUCUUAAAUAAGAGAAAGUCUUCACAUAUUUACAUAAUUAUUUAGCUACUCAUUGAUCUUCACUUAUAUCUUGUUGGAGUAGUUUGUCAUUUACUCCUGUGCUUCACUUAUAUCCUAUGAGUAAAUGGUUUAAUGAGUUGAAUGUCAUAAAUCUGAAAUCAUAUAUGUAUCAUUUGCUUAUCCCAUGGGGAGUAAUGACUUCACAUCUAAGAAGUAGAGGUUGUAAAUUUAUUAAAGGUUAGCAAGCAUUGUAUUGGUCAUUUGAACAAUUCAUGAAAGAAUAUUGAAGGAAGAGAGAUUUUACAUAUAAAUAUACUAUCUUAGACAUCUUUUAUAAUUGUGAGCACUCAUUAAGUAUGACAUGCUAAAGAGUUGAUGUUGGACAAGCAAGACAACAUAAUGGGUUAUGUUUUCUCACAUCUCAGUUAAAGUAUAUUGUCAUGGAUCAUUCAAACAUGUUGAGCUUGCCUUUCCCCCUCAUGCUAGCCAAAAUUCCUUGCACCAAGUAGAGAUACUACUUGUGCUUCCAAAUAUCCCUUAAACUAGUUUUGCCAUGAGAGUCCACCAUACCUACCUAUGGAUUGAUUAAGAUCCUUCAAGUAAGUUGUCAUCGGUGCAUGCAAUAAAAAUUGCUCUCUAAAUAUGUAUGAUCUAUUAGUGUGAAGAAAAUAAGCUUUAUACGAUCUUGUUAUGGAAGCAAUAAAAGUGACGGACUACAUAAUAAAGGUCCAUAUACAAGUGGCAAUAUAAAGUGAGGUUCCUUGCAUUAAGAUUUUGUGCAUCCAACCAUAAAAGCGCAUGACAACCUCUGCUUCCCUCUGUGAAGGGCCUAUCUUUUACUUUAUGUCUUUUACUUUAUGCAAGAGUCAAGGUGAUCUUCACCUUUCCCUUUUUCAUUUUAUCCUUUGGCAAGCACCUCGUGUUGGAAAGAUCCUGAUAUAUAUAUAUAUAUAUAUAUAUAUAUAUAUAUAUAUCCAAUUGGAUGUAAGUUAGCAUGAACUAUUAUUGUUGACAUCACCCAAAGGUGAAUACGUUGGGAGGCAACAUUAUAAGCCCCUAUCUUUCUCAGUGUCUGAUUAAAACUUCAUAACCACAAGUAUUGCGUGAGUGUUAGCAAUUGUAGAAGACUAUAUGAUAGUUGAGUAUGUGGAGUUUGCUAAAUUAAAGCUCUGACAUAGACCCUUCCUGAAAAUAAGAUGAAUUGCAAUUAUUUGAUGACUAAGAAUGAAGUUUGCUAGUUUUCAAGAAAGUUUAUGAUCUAUGCUUUAACAUGUGAAUAGCUUGUUACUUGAUCGUGAGAAGUUUUAUGAGAUGAACUACUGUUAUGACAUAUAAACAUGCUAGAAAAGGUGAUUGAAAUUAUCAUUGAUCAAACUUGUGCACCUGCUAGCAUUCAAACUUCAUAAAUUCUUUCUUUUAUCAUUUACCUACUCAAGGACGAGUAGGAAUUAAGCUUGGGGAUUGUCGGUGUCAAAACCGGCGGAUCUCGGGUAGGGGGUCCCGAACUGUGCGUCUAGGCAAAUGGUAACAUGAGACAAGGGACACGAUGUUUUUACCCAGGUUCGGGCCCUCUCGAUGGAGGUAAAACCCUACUCCUGCUUGAUUAAUAUUGAUGAUAUGGGUAGUACAAGAGUUGAUCUACCACGAGAUCAGAGAGGCUAAACCCUAGAAGCUAGCCUAUGGUAUGAUUGUUGUAUAUAUCUAUCGAAUAGCCUGGCCUCGGUUUAUAUAAUGCACCAGAGGCCUAGGAUAACAAGAGUCCUAGCCGAAUACGCCAGUGGGGGAGGAGUCCUUGUCUUGAUCGCCAAGUCUUGCGGAAUCUUCCUGGUAUGCGGCAGCUGUCCGUACUGGCCCAUGAGUAUACGGCCAUGGGGGUCCUCGGCCCAAUCUAACAGAUCGGGAGAUGACAUGGUGAGUACCCCCUAGUCCAGGACACCGUCAGUAGCCCCCUGAACCGGUCUUCAAGUUUAGGGACGCUCCUUGAUUCUUCCGAACCGUUCCUCAUCUUCAGUCGUCGGUCUUGAAAACUGGUUCAACAAAUCUUCUCAUCUUCAAUCUUGAGGAUCGCCGAAAUGCAUUCGACGAGUUUACAUGUCGGGUAUCCGAGGAGCCCCUUUAAGUUUCCGGCCUUUAUCAAUGCCUUGUUAUUUUUAUGCCACACCUCGGGUUUGAAGUUGUUCCCGGGCGGCAGUGUCCUCUUGCGUCCGAGCUCCAACGCCGGAUUGCAUUCGAGGUAUCUUUUGCAGCCAAGCACCAACGUCGGACUGCUUCCGAGCUCCAACGCCGGAAUGUAUCCAAGCUCUAACGCCGGACUGUGUCCAAGCUCCAACGCCGGACAGUAUCUGAGCUCCAACGCCGGACUAUAUCCGAGAUGUCAUAGAUCAUCUGGGUUCAAAAAAGUUUAAGGAGUUUGGCCGAGCUUAAUGCCGGGAAUGCCCUUUAAGGAGCCAGCCACUUGCUUCCGAGCUAUAUGCCGAACUGCUUCCGAGGUGGUUAAGCACCUCGGUCAUGGGCUGAUUUUUGGUCAAUGUUUUUAUUGAUGCAAUUUAUUCUCUGAAGAGAUAUAUAGCCAGUAGCCCUCAAGGUGUGUAUCGGUCUAAAACCCGAGAUGCACAUGAAGGAUGACAUAAGACCGCUGAUCCCCGUAGCCGCUGAGACUCAGGUUGAUUUGCAAAAUCGGUCUUAGGAUCAAGUCCUAGCUCGGCAGAAUACUUUGGGACACAAAAAGCGGCGUGCUCAGUCCUCAAGACUCAGGUUGGGUGCGGCCGACCAACCUGAGGAUCAAAAUUUCCUCGGAGACUGUAUUACACUUAAAUUUUUCUGCAUUGGACAGGCAAUGCAGUAGCCCCCGAGACACUGGUCGGGUGGCAACACCAGAUCAGGGGAUCGAUGUGCCCCUUUAAUAUUUGUAAAUAAUAAGCCCGAAGCCCAGUAGCCCUCGAGCCUUAAUGCGGGCACGGGUGGCCGAAUUAAGGAUUGAUAUCCAUAGUAAAAUCACAAAUUAUGUGUAAUGACUCUAUGUAUCCAAGUACUUUACGUCAUUAAUGCUUGGAUCCGCAUUGUACACAACUUUGUUGACCGACCAUCGGCUUCCACCUCGUCGGCCAAUAGUCGAGGAGUGUUUGUCCUACUUUAUAAAGCCUUUAUGAGGGCAAAGAUUUACAACAAACAAGGCAAUCUGGCCAUACGGUUUUAUAAACAAAGGUAUGCAGAGAGAUAUGUUAUAUUACUGUUUAAUAGAAGAAAUGUCUUCCAAAGGAAAUAGUCCCGCUAUCGGUUCCUUUCUUUGGGUUGUCAUGCUAAGCAUGAUCAUGAGACCUCAGCUCCAAUGUAAGAGCAAAAUAUUGAGGAUUUAGUUUGGGAGGCUAGUUACUAGCCCCCGGUAGUGUUCGGCGACAGUUGAGGUCAAGUCGUAAACACUUCGGCUAAUGUAAUGAAUGGCCCAUCAUUUAACACAGUCAUCGGAUCGCUGACCAGUUUUAUGCUUAUUGUGACAGUCAGUUUUUGGCUUUCUCCACUAAGGUGCUUAACCAUGUGAGCUGGAAGCACCAUCGCAGUGGUUCUCCCUUUGCACACCUAGCCGAACAAAGCGGAAUGUAGGGGGCAAGCGCAGGAGCUGGGCAACCCAACUAUUGACCGAAGACACAAUUCGAAACCGAUGCAUAUAGAGCAAUAUCCGAGAAUGUUUUUGCCGAAUCUCUAAAGGUGUCCGGCGUUGCACUGCGAGACUUGUGCUGAAAACACACAAUAGUUUAAAAGUGCCAUGGGCUUGAAAAGCCAAAAAACUUAUUCAAAAGGUUAAUGUCCGAACUAGAUCAAGUGUUCGGUGCCAAUCCAAAAAUUGGACUUUAGAAAAAAAGGUGCUUCUGCCGUGCUUUAACAUGACACAUCCUAUCUCAAAACUUCAAGCGGGUCAGCCUACGGCUUCAACCUCCUAUCCCGAAGGCGGAGUACUUCUUACUAGGCUAGUUUAGCAAACUAAACUCUAGCGGCUUUGAGAGAGAAAUUAGGCUCCCCGGCUAGUGACCGCACACUUGUGUCGAAAAAAGGAGUGAUAAAUAAUAAUAAAAACUUUGCAACGACUAAGAAGAAAAACACUUAUUAUAAAACGGCUCAAAUAAGCAUAAGAGCCUCCAAGUGACUUGGGUAAAAGAAUGAUUGUAUGUACCGAAGUACUUGUAUCAUAUCUAUGUUCACCCGAACUUUAUACGCGUCUUAACCGACCAUUGGCUUGUCCCUCUUCGGCAAGGGCCGAAAAGUGUUAUGUACUCCACCUGUCGAGAAUAUCGACGGUGUUUCCGAUAACUAGGCAAUCAGGCCAUAAGGAUGUAACAGACAAAGCGCGCUCAGGGAACUUAUGCUAUAUUACUAACAAAGUGUAAGAAGCAUCUUCGAAGAAAAUAGUACCCCCACCGAUACCUUUCUUCGGUGCUCAUUAUUACUAUGAGACUUUGUGCAAUAGAUUUUUUGUACUCAUGAGUUCCGUUGUGUGCCGACCAUCAUUCAAAACUAUAAGAGCGCUAGCUUUCGGCUUCACCCAGUCUGAGGUCCGGCUCGGAUGACCCGAUCAUGACAAUCGCAGAGGUGCUCCCUUUACUCCCUAGCCAAACAAUCGGGAACGUAGGGGUAAACACAGGAGCGAGGCAACCCAGCUUGCAAAUCGCUUAAGUCAAUAUGGUGCAUAUUGUGGCGUAAUACACAAACAAGGAACGAAGCCGUACAAGUAUAAUCAUAUGCAAGAGAAAAAGCUUCAUGAAGGAAGCCCCCAAAUGAAUUGGGUAUUUGAAUUUGCGCGUCACAAACAAAGUUUGGACGAGGAAAUUUUUACAAGCAACUUUUUCCCAACAAAGUAUAAUGCUUGGUCGAGCCGAACACAAGUUAAAAAUUUAAAACUUUGAGCCUGAAGGCAACUUAGCUGGUUAAUAUGUUCGGUAUUGAUGACGCAGUCCGAGCUUGAUGCGGGACAAGGUUCCAUCCCCCCAAGCCGGUCUCGAGGUGGCGGAGCAAAGAGCUCGGCACUCCGAAGUAGUGACAUAGCACGGUCAAUGCAGGACGACAGGGUGAUGCCGAAGUCCCCGGCAUGGGGUAAUGAAGUGUUGACGAAGCCCCCCGUCCAGCCGAGGUGACACCAAAGGAUAUAGUCCGGCAGGAUCAUUUUCCUGUGCACAAAAAAUAGUGCAAACCGGAGAUAAUAGUAAUAAUAAUAAAAAAAAUUCGUUGCAUAACAAAUAAUUUAUGCAAAGUGAGUAAUAAAAGAAAUAUGGCCUGGCGCCGAAGUCAAUGUCGAUGCAGGGUGGCGGCGUGAUGCGGUAAAGGCAUGGCAAGGCCUGAAUUCACAGGUCGGUUCGAGUUCCGGAUGCGGCGUUCGCCGGACUAUGUAUGGAAACUGACCGAACCACCAUGCGACCGCCGUUAAUGCGGCCACCAUUUGAUAGACCUGCGUACAUAUGAUGGACAGACCAGAGUAAUAAUUCGUUGGAAAAAAUGAACCCAAACAAGCAAAAAAUACUAGGAUUAAUAGCACCUGGCUUAUUUGUUGUAGCAAUCCGAAGAAAGGUGAUUCCCAAAAUUGGGACUCGAUCCGCACACCUAUCGCCUGAUGGGCGAUAAAGCAACGGCAUGACGGUGCUGGCAAAGGUUGGCUCGCCGAGGCAAAGCCCUCGGUCCAGCUAACGUGAUGAAGCUGGUCAGCUGGUGAUGCCGAAUUCUCUGAAGUAAGUUAAUGAAGAGAUGGCGAAGUCCUUGGUUUAGCCGAGGUGACGGAGCAGGUCGAUAAGGAGACGUUGCAGCUGCCGUGUCAGCUGAGGUGUUGAAGUAGUUCGGCGUGAUGGACAUCGGCUUGAUGAAGCAACAGUUCGGCCAUGCCGAUGCAGGUCGUAGCUCGUGAUGUGAUCAAUGCUGGCUUGAUGAAGUGACCGUGCGGCGAUGCCGGUGUGCCCGCUCUGUGUAAUCUGUGGGGCGGAGAUGUUGGUGACGAUUUAUCCUUCGCGAUGUCAAACUAUUGUUCGGCUGGCCGAGAUGAUGAUCCGAAGAAAUUGAGCUCGGCUCAACAGAGCGAUGACGUGUCUACCGCAGGUCGGCCGCUGUGGAGUGAUGUUGUCGGGCUGGCUUGACACCGGCGCGACGGUGAAGUUCGUAUUGUAAGAAUACUUUUAACAAUAGUGGGAUGUGUUUGGGAAUAAAACACAAUACCCCAUACGAAAACGUCCUUCAAAAAGGAUGUCCGAAAUCCCGUUCGUAAAGAUGAACUUGGGUCGGAUUCGUUCUCGCGCAGAAAACAGAUCCGAAAAGUGAUGCACUAAUCGGAAGGUUCCUGGAGUUCGGACGGUCGGAUCGAGCUGACUUUUUGGCAGGUGGUAGAUAUGGGAAUUCCGCAACCGAUCAACGGUUGGAUCUUCCAAAGGACGUCCGAGCUAGAUGCUGGACACCCCGCUCCAAACUCGUCCGGAUUCUCGUCCAGAUUCAACAUGGCUCCGGUAUAUCGAAGAUUGCCGGAGAUUCCUCCAUCGGAACUCGACGGAAUUUUUUAGGUUUGUUGUCGAUUCAAUUCCGCACUAUUCCACCGAAGCAAUCGUCGAACCGACGCUCGACGAGGCAGUGACGGAGGACACAAGUUCGCUGUCCAGAAAAACAGCACGGUCGCCCAAGGGCAAUGUUGACGUCGAGCCCCCGAGCUCCCUCGAUGAUUCCUCCAUGAUCUUGAUAGAGAUCAGAGUUGAUGUUGAUGAAGGCCCUCAUCCGAACAUGAUGGUCGGAGGCAGGGCGUAGUCCUUGGUCGAACCAAGGUGACCAGUUGAGCUGGUGACGAAGAUGCCGAAGUCGCAGUUGAUUUGCAGGCGAGCCAUCGACCCUUUGUCAAACACACAACGGAACUCUCAAUGAAAGCACCAAUGUCGGUGUCAAAACCGGCGGAUCUCGGGUAGGGGGUCCCGAACUGUGCGUCUAGGCGGAUAGUAACGGAGACAAGGGACACGAUGUUUUUACCCAGGUUCGGGCCCUCUCGAUGGAGGUAAAACCCUACUCCUCCUUGAUUAAUAUUGAGGAUAUGGGUAGUACAAGAGUUGAUCUACCACGAGGUCAGAGAGGCUAAACCCUAGAAGCUAGCCUAUGGUAUGAUUGUUGUAUAUAUAUCUAUCGACUAGCCUGGCCUCGGUUUAUAUAAUGCACCAGAGGCCUAGGAUAACAAGAGUCCUAGCCGAAUACGCCGGUGGGGGAGGAGUCCUUGUCUUGAUCGCCAAGUCUUGCGGAAUCUUCCUGGUAUGCGGCAGCUGUCUGGACUGGCCCAUGAGUAUACGGCCAUGGGGGUCCUCGGCCCAAUCUAACAGAUCGGGAGAUGACGUGGUGAGUACCCCCUAGUCUAGGACACCGUCAGGGAUGCUGAUACGUCUCCAACGUAUCUAUAAUUUAUGAAGCAUUCAUGCUAUUAUAUUAUCUAUUUUGGAUGAUUAUGGGCUUUACUAAGCACUUUUAUAUUAUUUUUGGGACUAACCUAUUAACCGGAGGCCCAACCCAUAUUGCUGUUUUCUUGCCUAUUUUAGUAUUUCGAAGAAAAGGAAUAUCAAACGGAGUCCAAACGGAAUGAAACCUUUGGAAAAGUUAUUUUUGGAACAGAAGAUCUCCCAGAAACUUGGAGUGCAAGCCAGGGAAGCGUCGAGGAGGCCACGAUAUAGGAGCCCCCCCCUAUAGGGCGCGCCCCUGUCUCCUGGGCCCCUCGAGCACCCCCCGACCGACUUCUUUCACCUAUAUAAUUCCAUAUACCCUAAAAACAUCAGAGGAGAAGAUAGAUUGGGAGUUCCGCCGCCGCAAGCCUCUGUAGCCACCAAAAGUCAAUCGGGACCCUGUUUCGGCACCCUGCCGGAGGGGGGAUCCCUCAGCGGUGGCCAUCUUCAUCAUCCUGGUGAUCUCCAUGAUGAGGAGGGAGUAGUUCACCCUCGAGGCUGAGGGUAUGUACCAGUAGCUAUGUGUUUGAUCUCUCUCUCUCUCUCUCUCGUGUUCUCUCUAUGGCACGAUCUUGUUGUAUCGCGAGCUUUACUAUUAUAGUUGGAUCUUAUGAUGUUUCUCCCCCUCUACUCUCUUGUAAUGGAUUGAGUUUUCCCUUUGAAGUUAUCUUAUCGGAUUGAGUCUUUAAGGAUUUUAGAACACUUGAUGUAUGUCUUGCCGUGCUUAUCUGUGGUGACAAUGGGAUAUUCACGUGAUCCACUUGAUGUAUGUUUUGGUGAUCAACUUGGGGGUUCCGCCCAUGAACCUAUGCAUAGGGGUUGGCACACAUUUUCGUCUUGACUCUCCGAUAGAAACUUUGGGGCACUCUUUGAAGUACUUUGUGUUGGUUGAAUAGAUGAAUCUGAGAUUGUGUGAUGCAUAUCGUAUAAUCAUGCCCACGUAUACUUGAGGUGACAAUGGAGUAUCUAGGUGACAUUAGGGUUUUGGUUGAUUUGUGUCUUAAGGUGUUAUUCUAGUAUGAACUCUAUGAUAGAUUGAACGGAAAGAAUAGCUUCAUGUUAUUUUACUACGGACUCUUGAAUAGAUAGAUCAAAAAGGAUAGCUUUGAGGUGGUUUCGUACCCUACCAUAAUCUCUUCGUUUGUUCUCCACUAUUAGUGUCUUUGGAGUGACUCUUUGUUGCAUGUUGAGGGAUAGUUAUAUGAUCUAAUUAUAUUAUUAUUGUUGAGAGAACUUGCACCAGUGAAAGUAUGAACCUUAGGCCUUGUUUCCCACCAUUGCAACACCAUUUACGCUCACUUUUAUCACUUGUUACCUUGUUGUUUUUAUAAUUUCAGAUUACAAAUACCUUUAUCUACCAUCCAUAUUGCACUUGUAUCACCAUCUCUUCGCCGAACUAGUGCACCUAUACAAUUUACCGUUGUAUUGGGUGUGUUGGGGACACAAGAGACUCUUUGUUAUUUGGUUGCAGGGUUGUUUGAGAGAGACCAUCUUCAUCCUACGCCUCCCACGGAUUGAUAAACCUUAGGCCAUCCACUUGAGAGAAAUUUGCUACUGUCCUACAAACCUCUGCACUUGGAGGCCCAACAACGUCUACAAGAAGAAGGAUGUGUAGUAGACAUCACACAUCAAGGCAACAUAUGCAUGAUAUGACUAACAUCAUCAUGCCAAGGUAGAGCAAACACCUUGGGGGGUAAAUAGGAGUGGUCAGCGGCGUCUGAAUCCGCCUCAAAACAGAUAUCUUCCUCUGGAUUACAAUCUGGAGAGGGGUGGGGAGGGUUUGCCAUUGAACCCACCAUGGAGCGAUGUCUGCAUGACAUUGUAUUGCCGCACAAAACUCUUCUCUUUUUAUCUACAUGUUCAGCAUGACUGUGUACAAUAUCUGACAUGCAUACGAAAAAAAUAUGGUGAGAUUAUGUAAGGAGAGCAUGCAGAAAUUUAGAGUGAUGGUAACAACCAGUGGAUGGAUCCAAAAAUAAUGAUAGCAGGCCGAUGAUUGCUUUAAAUUAAUAAAAAGACAAAUGAUGAUUGCUUUACUAUUUGUUUCCCACCUAAGAUGAACAACAUAGGCAUACCCUAGAUGAACCAGAUAUUAGACAGACAUACUAUUCAUUGCUGCCUCGAUAUGUGCCCCACAACUAAUUUAGAACUCAAGUUUGAACAUUAAUUUGGACCUGACUUGGGAGUCCAAGAGCUGAACAGGACAAUAAAGUAGCAGGUAAGUUUAAGCAAUGCAUAACAUAAGCAGAAACAAAAGAGUGCAACCUCUCUUGUGGACCCGUGUACUCCUCAGGUUCAUCUGCUGAGUCAAUGAUGGUGAUGCCAUUGCGGUGGGUGCCGGCAGCAGGGAAGGAGAUCUGAGGCGGCGAAAGACGGUCAGGAGUCGUGAUGUCUGGUUUGGUGGAUGCUUCUGUCGAUGGAGCAGCUCAGGUGAGGUGGAAGACGUCGCGGCAGGAGCAGGACAAACCACACAAAGUUCCCUUCGACACGUACCUGUAACUGAAGUAAUUCUGUAAGGGCUCAUUUGGCUUGCAUGAUUCUUAAAACGCAGGGAUAGGAAAAACACUGGAAUAGGAUAGGAAAAUGCACAUGGUAAACAGAGCAUUUGUAAACACAGGAUUUCUGUCAACUUGGGUGUUUGGUUUACAGGAAUUGGAAGAGCAGAGGAAUGCAAAGAAACAUGGCCAAAAUAAAGUGAAACCAUAUGAAAGCAUGUACAGUUAGAAUGUUAUUCUGGCACUAAUGCACUUGGUCUUGUUUUCAUGCAUAUGAUUUUGAAAAGUAGGUCUAGGUGGAUGUUUUGCUUCAUUCCUUUCAACAAAAUGCAUGGAUAAUUGAAUAGUAGAGUGCCAUUGGAAAAUUACCUAUUGCUAUGUUUUUCCGUUGAACCAAAAUAGCCCUAAUGGAUCGAAGUGAAUGUAUAGUAAUAAGUGAUGCAACAAGUGUACAACCUCUUUGCCGUUGCCGUGUCGACCUCAUCAUCAUUGGGUUGGUCGCUGAAGCAGUUGAGGCAGAGGUGGCUGUCGGAGGUGUGGAGGAAGAUCUUAGGAAUCUGUAGACGGCGUCCAGGGCACUGCUCUGUUGUGAUGGAUCGUUCUGUCGUUGGAGCAGCCCCGGUGAGCCGUAAGACGUCAAGGCUGAAGCAACACAAGACAUGCAUCGUCAAUCUCAAGUGGGAUUCUAAUAGCAUCUCCAAUAGAUGAUGUAAAAUGGAUGUAAAAUUUACAUCAUCAAAAACCACCUGACUACAACAGAUGAGGUAAAAACUGUUGACUCUAAACUUAACUGUCAAAACUGAAAUUUACUGUGGAAUCUGAAUGCUAUUGUCGAAACUGAACACAAUGGUAGCAGAGAGGCACUUGCCAUGUAGUUUAGGGAGGGCCUACAGUUAUCUUCAACCUGCACCCCCCUGAGCCACCAGCCACCACCGGCCGAACUGUCGGCCCCAGCGCUGCCUCGCCGCCCUGAAACAACUCCCCACCGUUGCCCCGGCCAGCCCUCUAGGCCCCCCGCCCCCACCCUGAACCCUAAGAUAGAUAGUGGGGUACCUCUCCGGCGAGCCCCCGUCCCCGCUGCGAGUGGUUCUUCCUUAACUCUGGCGAGCCCCCCCCAACCCCUGAAAAUCGACUGACCCAAAAGUCGAUUCAGUCGACUGAAGUGUGGCUAAAUCAGAGCAGAGCAGUAGCACGAGUGAGGGGGAGAGCAGCAGCAGCAGCUAGGCGAACGAGCGAUCGAGCGAGAGCCGGAGCAGCAGCAGCAGAUCCAGCUAGUAUGGCCGCCGCCGCCAAAGGGGCCUCGCACUAGGGGAGAGCCGUCGUGGAGAUGCGCGGCACCGACUUCAAGGUAGCCGCUCCAUGGGGGUGUGGGAUGGAGCACCAUCAUCGCCGGGAGGUCGAGUUAAUGAGAAGGUGCGAUGCGAUGAGUGUACAACCUCUUUGGUGGCGCCGAGUAGGCCUCGGCUUCGUCCGAGGAGUCGGUGAGGAUGUUGCGGUUUCGAUGGAGCAGGUUAAGGCGGCGCUGUGGGGAUGGAGCAGCCGCGAUAGACGAUGCGAUCGUCAGAGCAGCUCCUUGGAGGUGGAGGACGGGGCGGCUAAACCGGCGGGAUGACGAAUCCUCAUCCGGGGAGGUGGACAAGGUAUGUCGAGCUGUUGCGGUGGACGACGUCGUCGGGGAAGAGGCUUCGGCUGGGCAGUGGUGAGGUGGCGGACGGAGGAGGGUGGGGUUUCACGGCUGGAGCGGAGAGGUUAUGGCGGCCUGGGAUUUCGAAUGGCGAAAAGGGGGCGAUGGGCGGGGGUGAAGCAUGACUUAGGGACGCGCUUGUCCAAAAUGUAGGGUCUGUUACAAAAGUACCCCCCACCAAUUUGAACUAGCGGCCCUUUCGGCUCAGGGUUAGAAGGGGGAUUUCGUGUGUCAGGAUUUGGCAGCUGGAGGGAGUUUUCGCGCGCGUUGUAAUUUCGGGAUAGCAAGGCGUGGUUUGUGAAGGGACCAGUUUUCGGAGCACGAUAUCUGAAUUUUCGGGAUAUAACAAGACGCGGGUUGAAUUUUAGGGACAAGCCUAACGUGUAGUAAUAUUGUACUUGUACGUACCAAAUCAAUUCGCACUUCCCUCAACCAAAAAGAAAACAAAAAAAAAUAAAAC
RNAcentral lists this long non-coding RNA (44905 nucleotides) under Triticum aestivum (bread wheat). RNAcentral describes it as "long non-coding RNA (TAES_LNC008064)". The record is from RNAcentral. Lineage: Eukaryota; Viridiplantae; Streptophyta; Magnoliopsida; Poales; Poaceae.